GAAGUGGGAGGUGCUUCUUUAAAUUUACUAGAAGAAGUAUCAACUGUCCUACUACGGAAGUUAUCAAGCUGAGAAGAAGUAGAUGAUGGCUUCAAGUCCUCAACAGAGAAUUUUCUCGAACCACAACUUUGAUUUUCCAGAUAAAUCUUUUCAGCUCUACAAGCCAAGGCACCAAGAUUUACAGGAAGAUCUGACCUUAUAAUCUUUUCAAGAAAUAUAGCCGGGAAGUUAAAUCUUGGUAUCACAUUAACUUCAUACAGCAAAACUGCACUAGAGGACCUGAUAGCAGACAAAAGCAAAAUAGGGCAUAUUAGACUUAAUCUUUUUUUUCGCUCACAAGAAGUAGGAGAGCUUCACGGGGUUGAAAAGAUAAGCUAGUGAUGAACUUAAGCUGGAUGUUCAUCAAAAGAAAAUCAAUAAUAAGGUAGUAUACUACUAUAUAAGAUACAUAUAUUUAUGUCUUUAUUGGUUUACCUCCCAUCCCACUUAUCUGAGCAAAGAAAAAUGAUCACCAGAUGCAUACCUUGGACCAGAUCUUAUGGACCAUUUUCCUUCAAACUUCUUGAAGUCACCAUCUACCAUCGAGAAAUGGAGUUCUCGCCCAUUAAUCUGAAAGCAUAAUCAUGAACGAAUAAUCAAGUAAGGCAAUAUAACUUAAUAUAGAAUAGAAAAUGGAGGAGAUCCAUCAUCGUUUUUCAGAUUUGCUAAAUCUAACUCAUACAACUAAGAAAUAUAUCAGAGAGAAACACAAUAGCGUAGCUCCACAGCAAGAAGAACAACACAUGCUGCAAAAACAUAAAUGUUGCAUUCACACUCUCGUGGACUGGCCAACUGAUCAUCCACUAGUACUUUUCAGUGGCAUUUCACAUAAUGACAUAACAUUGUCGCCUUGUCGGUGAUGUCAAAUGUUGGAUACUCCAAAACUGUUCCAUUGCAAUUUAGCAGUUAUAAUGGAAGUCAAUCUGCGACAGCACGUACGGAGUCAUGGAUUUCCUGGAGAUCCAACACGACACGCGCCUCAAUGUGCCAGUACAACGCUUGCUGCAGGCCUCUCUGCUCCAGCCAUAUCCGCCCUUCAUGCGGGCACGGAAUCGUCCCACUGCAAGCAGGCACGAACAAAAUCACCCCACCUUCAGAAUGCGGGCUUGAUGAGGGCACCAUCAGUGCAAUCACAGCUCAGAAGCGACAAAUCGAGACGAGAAAAAUGCAGACCUCUGGACGAGGUUGGGGAUGAAGUCGGCGAGGCGCUCGUAGUCGGUGAUGACCUGCCAGAGGGUGUCGACGUCGGCGGCCACAGGCACGGACGCGAGCACCCGCCGCUCCCGCCACGACACCACGUCGACGUCGCACUUGACGCCGCGCGCCGACGCGGGGGACCCGGCCUCCGACGCGCCCGCGCGUCCUCCGUGGUAGUGCUGGUGGUCGGCGCCCCAGUGGUCCCCUGUGGCGGCCGCGGCCGAGGCGGCGACGGAGCGCCCGGAAGGGGCCCGCGAGAGCGCGGCCGGCGCGGAACGGAGAGCCCCGCGCGCGCGAGGGCUAGGGCUCGGGAUCCCCGGGAGGAAGGAGGCGGUGGGCGAGGCGAGAGCUCUCAUCGCUCGUGCGCUCGAGUCGAGCGGGAGAGUGUACUUGCCCACUGGGAGUCGUGUCGAGGAAGGAGACGGAGACGCGCGUGGUGACCGGAGCCGUUGCCUCUGGCUCUCGCUGUCUCGAAGGACCGCCGGAGUCUCUGCUGAGUGGGACCAGUGGUAUGGUCCCACGUGUCGGUGGCGUGGCUUGGGUCGACGGCGACGAGCGAUUGUUUCUGUUGCGACGGUGAGAGGCGAGCGGGGGAUGUGUGGCGGGAAGGCGAGGUGGCACCGUAGCCACUCGUGGCGCGUGGGGACGGGCCCCACGUGUCAGUAUUGUCAAGUUGGAUGAAUCUUCUGUGGGGUUGGGAUGUCAGUGCGUGUGCAGUCCAGGCUCCCAUGUGUGGUGACUGGUGAGCGGGCAGCGGGCCGACGUGGCCCGUCCUGCGCCUCCCGCGCGGCGAAAUCUUGGUUUUUUUUGAGAGGAUGCGGCGAAAUCUUGGGCCCAGUUAGCAAAAUGUUGGUAAUACUUUUGUUUUUAUUUGACAAAUAUUAUUUAAUUAUAGAUUAGCUAAACUUAAAAUAUUUAUCUCAUAAUUUACAGGCAAACUGUAUAAUUAGUUUUUGUUUUCAUUUAUAUUUAAUGCUUCAUGCAUAUACCGUAAGAUUCGAUGUGAUGAGAAAACUUAAAAUUUUUUGAAAACUAAACAAGGCCUUAGUUCACCCCAAAAACAAAAAAACUUUUCAAAAUUCUUCGUCACAUCGAAUCUUGCGGUACAUGCAUGGUGCAUUAAAUAUAGAUGAAAACAAAAACUAAUUGUACAGUUUACAGGUAAAUCGCGAGAUAAAUCUUUUGAGCUUAGUUACUCCAAACAAUAUUUGCUAAAUAAAAACGAUAAUGCUACAGUAUCCGAAAUCCAAACGACCAGGCCCAGUCGCUGCUUAGCACGCAAUGGACCGACCGACGGACAUCGGGCUGGGUCGUCCAGUUGCAAACAUAAACCGGCCAAAUCUGGAGGCCCAGCCAAAACAAUUCUACACCGCAAGUUAAAAUUGAGCAGAAAAAAUAUACUAAACAAUGUUCAAUAUCAUCUAGUACUAUAUUUAAAAUUAUAAAAUACUGAACAAUAUUGAAACGUGAAAACUGAACGAUACUGAAUUCUGUUGUGUGCCUUGUGUGUGCAUAGUACUCCGUGCUAAUUAUUGCUUGUAAUAAUGGAAAAACACACAUUUGAGCCUAAUAAAAUGGAAACUCUCAGAAAAUACAGAACAAACUGAGGCCUUGUUUAGUUCCCGAAAUUAUGGGCCGAAAUGCAAAAAAUUUUGCAAUUUGGCCUUUUGGAAGUAAACGAGCCCGAAAUUUUUUGGGCCAAUUUCGCAGGCCGAAACGGCGGCUCUAGCAGCCCAAUUCCAGGGCGCGGUCGUUCUUUACCCGGGCGCCGCGUGAAACCCUAACCCGGCCGCAUUCGCCCACCCGCCGCGCACACCGCCCGCCGCGACGCUCUCCUCUCUCGCGUUCCUUCCCUCCGCCGCCGCGACGCUCUCCUCUCCCCCCGUUCCUUCCCUCCGCCGCCGCGAGGCUAUCCUCUCCCUCCGCCGCGACGCUCUCCCCUCCCUGCUGCACUCAUCGACGCCCAAACAUCCACGGCCGCCCGCGAGCGGUGUUUUACGCGGCCACCCGCACGAACCCUAGCCCUGCUCUCCUCCGUCGCGUCCGUGCUCCACCAGUAGAUCCACCCUUCUCGUGUACUCUCCUCUCCUGUUCCUUGCGAACCAUGGCCGGGCAUGGCAGCGGCGGCUUCGACGGCGACCAGGGUGCCUUCAACCGGAGCCACAACAGUGGAUCUGGGGCCGGCGGCGUGACGCGGGACUUCUGGGACUCCUCCGGUCCAAGCCCCUUCGGCUCAGGCGCUGGUUCAAGCUCGUACCCGAACCCGCACCUAGGGUUCGACGGCCUGGACAUCAACGCUGGCGAGGAAUGGGCGCCAGAAGACGUGGACGACUACGCCGAGCAUCUCCGCGGCAGCAGGGACCUCAUGCCGCCUCCCGUUCGAGCUCCGUCGGUCGGCGGUUCGCGGCGUCCGUUGUUCCACCCGCCUCGGCAAGCGCCAUCAACCGAGCCUUCACCCGACGACGGCUUCGGCGGCCGGCUGUCGCCUGACGGGGGCAGCAACCCCCGAUCUGCACGCACGCCAUCACGAGGCCGAGGACGCGGUCACCGCGCACACGCAUCGGCCGGGAAGGUACAAAACACCCUGCCCCAUCUUUCUAAAUGUUCCAUGUUGUAUACUAGUAGUAGUAGGAAACGCGCGGCCCUGCGCGCGAUCAGUAAAUGUUUGUUGAACUUUGCUUGAAAAUGAUGUACAUGUCCUGGGUGUGGAUAUACGUGUAGAUAUUUCUGUGCAUAUGAAAACAUCAUUAUUCACACAGAUUAGUAUACACGGUUUUCAUAGUCAAAAGCCGCAGGCCUGAGAGACUGUAUGAUGUCAGAUAUGAGGAAAUCCUCAAAGAUUGUAUGAUGGCAGCAUUGUAGUUAAUUACAAAAUAUGGGGGCUGCAGUACUUUCAGGCAAUGCUUUUGUUGUAUUGUGUUCCUUAACAAAGACGAAAGGACAAUCUUAACGGAAGAUCAUACAGAGAAUGAUUUAUUUUUGUUUACCUCCCAGUCUGAGAUGUGCAACCAUUUCAGAGUCUUAGAUUUGCAAUCAUCUUGCCAGUCAUGAGUUCUCUUGCUUAAGUUUAUCAUCAUGAGCAUUCCGGAUCAAGUCUUAGACCUGGAAAAAUAAAAGAGAGCAUGCAACAUUCUGCCUAAGAUAAAACUUAAGAUAGACCAUUCAUUAUAAAAUUCUAUAUAUAUUGUGUCGAGUUCAGGAUGACAUAUUAAUGAACCAAUAUUUUAAAUUCAGAGGAAUUACCCUUGGGACAAAAUUUCCCAUUUUAUCUCUUAGCUUCAAAUGCAAGAUAAAAACAAAAGCAAAUAGGUGACAUUAGUAGUUACCUGUUUUGUCACCUGUUUUUGUUGUGUUGCCUGACAUCCAUUUAUGUCCACCAAUAUUUGCGGUGUGUUGAAUUUUAUUAGUUAUCCCAUAUGUUUCUAAUGAAAUAGCAAAUGUAAGAAUUCAGCGACUAUCUACAAGUUGUGAGUUAGCACAAACUUUUGAUAAUUGAUAGGCGUCGCGUUUACAUUUGUAUAGGUGAAUAGGUUCCUUUUUCUCUUGCUGUAUUCAUGGCUGAGUGAACUGAUGCCACUGUGCAUGUCGAGUUGUACUAUAGGUUCCUUCAUUCAUGUUAUAUAAAAUUUCCCCCGAUCUGCACAGUGCAUGUUGAAUUUGCCGUCAUAGUCUUCUGCAAUUAUGACAUUACGUUAUUCAUGUUAUAUAUAAUUUGUGCUCUCGGUUAUCACGGUUUAGGUCCACAAGAGCAAAGCAAAUUGGACAACCGAUAACCUAACGAAGUACUGCGAAUGCUAUGUUCUAGAGAUGCACUAUGGGAAUUGCCCUGGAGGCCAAAUGAACAAAUUUGGGUGGAAGGGGUUGAGCAGUAGGUACUAUGCUGCCACAGGUUUGCUGCAUGAUAGGGAACAAUUGCAGGGCAAGCAGAGGACCCUUAAGAAGCUGUGGAGGUUCUGUAACCUUGCACGUACUCACACUGGAGUUAACAUAGAUGCUGACGGGUUCAUCCAGGCUACAGACAAGUGGUGGAACGACAACGCUACAGUAUGUGUGUCAUGGACUAUACAUUGGAAUUCACUUAUACAGCUCCAACAAUAUGUAACUGUUGCACUGCCUGCAGGAAUCCGAGUUCAUGAAGAUUAGGUCAACUGGACUGCCUCCGUACUUAGAUCAGCUUGAUCAGAUGUUUGCCGGGAACACAGUGGACGGCUCCUCAUCGUACGUUCCAGCUGCUGGUCCAACAACUGAAGUCCAAGAAGUUUCAUCUGAUGACGAAGGAGCAGAUGAGGAGGACACCCGUACCCCUAUGAGCCUUGGGACCAAAAGGACAGGAAGCACUAGCACAACUGCAACGAGCCCCAACAAGAAGACCAAGAACACAUACGCGAGGGUCAUGAACCAGCACAUGAACUCGCAUUUGGAGCUUGCUAGAGAGAGGCUGGAGGUUCACAAGAAUGCCCUUCAGAAAAAAGCACAUGACAAGGACGCCGCAAGGACAUCUGUGAACUGGAAAAUAGCUGAGUGCUCUAGGAUUGCUGAGCAUGAGCUUGGCAUUUCUCGAGACACGCCAGCCCUGUUGGAUGGACUCCUUGCUCUGGCAGAGAAUGAAGCACAGAUGGAUUUGUUCCUUUCGUCAAGUUAGACAGUGAGGAUACGAAUCAUCCAGAAGCUCGCCAGCAACCCUCCGCCGGUGGACCCCUAGAACACCUUCCUUCUAAUGCAUGUAGCAAUGGCGCAGUAGUUCCACUGACAGUAGUUGCACUGACAGUGUAGAACCUUUUGCUGGAGAUGAGGGCCAAUGCUUUUGGUUUAGGGUUGUAUGUUGUAGUGCGUACGUGUGUGUGGUUUUAUUUCUUUCUUUUCAAGAACUAUGAACUCUAUGUUGUCAUUUGUUUGGAAAGACCUUUGAAUGUACUAAUUUGUUUGAUCACCAAUCUUUGUUGCAUUAUGAAUUUGUAUGUGCUACUAUGCUACUUUUGGGCCAUUCUGGUAACCUUGAAUGUGUUGUACCAUGUGCUGACUAGUCUGUGCUGUAAUUGUGGCAGGCUAAGAUUUCUUGGUAUGAUGCACGAAGGGAGGAGUUGCUGCAGCAGUUGGAGAAGGAAGAAGAUGAGUUGCUGGAUGAGAUGAUGGAAGAUGCUGAGGAGGAUGAGUUCAUCUUUGGUAUGUACCAAUAUGCAAUGCACAUAGACAAGUACAUGUGUAGAGCUGACUAUAGAGUUCCUAAAAUGAGUGGCAUUGAAUGGGUUCAUGCUAAGACGGCCAGUGAGAAGUCAUGUUACAACAUGUUUAGAAUGACCCCUACAAUGUUCUUUACCUUGCAUGAGCUUUUAUGUGCUAAGUACGGUCUGAAAUCGACUACCAAGUCGACUUCUUUUGAGGCUCUAGGCAUGUUCUUGUGGAUGGUUGGGGCACCACAGUCUGUUAGGCAAGCUGAGGACAGAUUUGAGAGGUCUUUGGGGACUGUGUCAAAAAUGUUCAACAGAGUCUUGAAUAGCCUUGUGCAGCUAGCAGCAGACAUCAUUAAGCCAGUUGACCCAGAGUUUAGAACACUGCAUCCAAGGCUUACAAAUCCUAGGUUUUAUCCACAUUUCAAGGACUGCAUAGGGGCCAUAGAUGGAACUCAUGUCCAAUGUGUAGUGCCAAAUGACAUGUUUGUUCAGCACUUGUGCCGCAAGGGAAUCACUACACAAAAUGUCAUGGCUUGUUGUGACUUCGACAUGAGGUUCACCUUUGUGAAUGUUGGUUGGCCUGGAUCUGUUCAUGACAUGAGAGUGUUCAAUGACUCGACAACAACAUAUAGCGCUGUGUUCCCACAUCCACCUCAAGGUACUGACUAUUUCAUACACAUGACUGAUUCUAAUACUUGAUGACACUGUGCCUAACUGAUUGUCUGUUGAUGCAGGGAAAUACUAUCUCGUGGACUCGGCCUAUGCGAACAAGCAGGGGUACCUAGCUCCUUACAAAGGCAACAAGUACCAUCUGCAGGAGUUCCGUGACGGGUCCGAGCCACAAGGUAAAGAGGAAAUCUUCAAUUAUGCACACUCUAGCCUUAGAAAUGUUAUUGAGCGGGCAUUUGGAGUUUUGAAAAUGAAGUGGCGCAUGUUGCAAAAGAUCCCUCCAUACGCACCUCACAAGCAAUCCAAAAUAAUUGUUGCAUGUAUGGCCCUACAUAAUUUUAUGAGAAGCAAUGACAUAGCAGAUAAGCACUUCCAUAGGUGUGACAAUAAUGAGAACUAUGUGCCGCGACAAGCGUAUGAGAAUCAGCCACCUCCUGAGGUUGUCGAAGAUGGUCCAAACCCGAUGGCUGCAUUCCGUGAUUCGCUUGCUUAUGCUAUGGCAACUGGUUCGUAAAACUGUUGUGAUUGUUCACAUGUUUGUUUAUUUCAUUAUUGCGGUUUGUGAGUAUUUUUUUACGACAGUUUUGAAUUCAUGCGAGUAUCUGUGAAUGUUUGAGGACAUAUAUGAGCUGUGAUGUUUACUGUAACAUUGUUGAGCCCAUUAUGUGGUUGUAAUAGGAAAUAAAAGUUGUAAUAGGAUGAUCACAGUUUUUUUUAAUAAAGUGUGCAUGAACAUUGCCUGUGAUUUUGUCUAUGCUUCAAUCUAUGCUUGUUGUGCAUGUGCAUGGGGUUGCAUGGCAACCAUUUAAUGCAGCUGCAUGACUUGCAGUUUUGCAAAAUUUUUUGGUAAGUAAACAGGAAAACCAAAAUACAAAAUGUCAGUAUUUUGGUGUGCUGCACAUUCUGUUUGGGAUUUUACAAUUUUGCAAAAAAGUUCAGGAACUAAACAAGGCCUGACUUGGGCCGCCACUCCCUAAAUUCGCUAGGCCCAACGCCUCCCUCCAGUCUCUUCCCCGUCCAGUCCCUUGACCCAGCGUCGAUUUCAAAACCCGCGAAACCAAGCACGGCGUCACGAGUCACGACCGCACCAACCCCAGAGGCGGCAAAGGCGGUCUCUCUCGGGCCCGGGCACUAGCGGCGAUGUCGGCGGCGGCGAAGGCCAAGGCCAAGGCGAGCGGCGGCAAGCGGGCCGCGGCGUCGAAGGACCCCGCCGAGGCGCUCGUCUCAGACAAGAGGCGGCGGGAGCGCGGUGGCAUGGACGACUCCGACCACGAGUUCGACAGGUGCCUUGCCUUGCCUGCUCCUCCCCCCUCGCCUAUCGUGUUCGCUGCUUUGGAUUCGCCGCGGUCCGGGAGCGAGGCCGUUGGUUCGAAUCGGGGCGGCGAAGCGAGGGUUUUCGUUCCUAGUAACUGCGCCUCCGUUCCGUGACAAUUUUUUUGGGGGGAACUUUAGCGCUAUUGAUCGAUUCCUCUCUACACAUUUCAUGAUCCCGGGCGUGCUUUCAAUGUGAUUGGUGGAGGCAGUGACAUGAAGGAGAUCGUCACGCUGCUGAAGCAAAUCAAGGACAAGGCCCACAAGGACGGCCAGAAGAAGACCGAGCAGGCCAUUUCCAGGUGAUUACGGUCUCCAUCCCCGCGCAUCCACCUAGCAUUUUGGUACUAGUAGCGACUGUUCUGUCAGUGUACGUAAUACAGCAGUGUUUUACAUAAUACAGCGUUUUGGUCAGAUGUUUGUGUGUGCAACUGUUCUGUUUGCUCCAAUAGUCCAAUCCAAUCGAGGGAGAUUUGGUGUGGUUUGGUGCAUGGCAAGCAGCACAUCUGGUUAAAAUCUGCAGAUUUUACACAAAACGUCUGAUUGACAUCUGAUGUAGUACUCUACUAUGGAAGACAUGUGUUGGUGAUACUCGCUGUGUUGUGUCUGAUUUGUGCACUUCAGAUGGCUGUGCUUCAUACACAGUUUAGCAGGGCACCUCUCAUGGGUGUCAAGUUGUUUGCCAAUUCCUGGGUGCUUUAGUGAAUCACUGGUUGUUGUAGUUCACAACUAGAGAGUUUGUUGUCCCUUGGUCUCAUGCUAAAGGGAGCACUAUUACUGACUGAAGUGAAUCCACCUAUGGUGUCUGGCAAGUAGAUUGAGACUGGAGUUCAUGAACAAUGGCAUCAUGGAAUCUUAUGUCUGGAUGUUGUACUCGUUGCAGGGAGCUAUCUUGAGUACAUUGCUAACAAGUUUUGGUAUCUUUCAGCGUGGCAACAGAGAUUCAGACUAUGGUACAAGACACCAAGACUAGGCUUGAGAAGGAAAGGUGAGCAAAUAACUAAUCCAUAUCACCAGCCUUCCAGUGACUUCACUAGAGAAAUACAUUAGCUCCUGCAGCGAAAUCUGAUGUGCUCCUUUUUAGUUGUAGCUAGAACUGAAACAGGUUCUUGGUAAUAAAUACUGUGAACACCCUGAAUGGAAUGUGCCCCUGACAAUUGUUUUAUGUGCGUGCACAGGCAGAGUUUUCUGAAAGCAUUGUCAAAGACUUCAAAAGAGGUCUGGAAUUGUACUUGAUGCUUCAAUGUGCUUCUGGUUACUAAUCUGAUCAGAUUUUGGUUAAUGGAAGAUUCGUUUAUAUGUUAUGCAGUGCGAAGGUUUGUUGAAGAAUGAGUACACCAAAUUUCAAGCAACACAUGACAAGUUCUGCAAAGACAAAGCUGCACACAUACAGAAUUUCAAAGGUACGCCAGAUAAGAGCUAAGCUGACACCUAUUGUGAUAUGCUGACAUGCUGUAUUGUUAUCAUCUAGCAUAUCUUUAUCUAGCUCAUGUCAUGCUCGAGCAGGUCUGGUACCAUCCUUAGUUUGUUCAUCAUGAAUAUGACACAUUUAGAUCAUGACUCCAGAUAUUCUGUGUCCACAAUUGAGUUGUGCUGUUUGCCUAUUUUUUUAAUUAUAUGACCAGAGGAAUUCUAUAGGCAAGCUCACCUAAGGAAGCUCCAGUGUACGCAUAUGCUUAAUCUGCUAGCAGUUUUGCAGCUAGUAAAUGCAAUCAUAUAGCCUGUGUUGUACCUAUGCUGUCACACACUCACACUUUCCUAUAAUUCAUGAUUUAGAAGGGAUAAUAUGUUAAUGUGAAAUCACCCAUUGAGCACUGUGCUGUGCCUAUAUUGCCUCACUUUCCUCUUCACUGAGGUAGUUGUUGUCAUCAGUUAUCAUCAUUUUUAAUUGACCUAUCUAUGUACUGUUUUCUGCAGACCUGUUCUCAAAGUUUGAAGAUGAUAAAGAGAAAUUGCUUGUGCAGUAUGAACUGCAGAGUAAGUAGUAGAUGGCUAGUUCCUUCAGUUGUGUUUAUGAGUUUGCUGCUUUGACAUGCUGCCUUUUAACAGGGAAGAAGGAGAAGGCUACUCUAUCUGAACUUGAGAAAACAUUUUCAGAGAAGAUAGCAAAUGCAGAAGAAUCCCUGAAGAAGAUGAAGCAGGUAAAUGUCACAACAUGCAUGAUUUUCACAUUGCUGAUCUCAUCACCAUGCAUCGUUACUGUGACUAAACUUUGCAUGGUUUAUUAACCAUAAUAAUCAGUUCACUAAUUAUGCAUUCAUGCUUGACAGGACGACAAAUCAAUCCACAUCCUUCGCAAGUCCAUUGGCUCAUUUCUGAGUGGCGACCCAGAUGAUCAGUCUGGUCAAGAUGAUGACUGAAGCUGCUGUCACCAAAUGGUUUCUAGUUUGAGAUCUAUGUGGAUAAUAUGUUAUUGGAGAAUAUAUAUCAUCAGUGCAUAGGGGAGGCAAAGAUACAUAUAGGGAGUUGAUAGUUUGUGACUGCACAACUCGUGUGCUUAGUUUUCAUUGGCUCGGGCUGUGAUGUUAUGGAGAAUGAUUGCAUUAUUAAUUUGGUGGAUUUUAGUACUCUACAGCAAGAGGUUUAGAUUGUGCUAGGUUGGAAAGGCAUUAUCUAGUUGCACCAUUGCAAGUGCUAUACUUGGCCGGGACGCUUUACAAUUUGGUCAGCAUCUGCUCUCCUCAUGCCACAGCCCACUGCAAACCAAGUUCUCCUUUAUCAAUAUUCAGUAAUAAAAUAUAUACGAAAAUUUGCAAAUUCACUAAAGCAUACAUGUCAUUGCAAAUUCAUAUGUUUUUGAAGGAAUGCAAAAGCAAAAGAACAGGAGAUUUACACACACAUACUUCACCGGCAAAACAAAAAAAAAAGGUUGAGAUCGUCGUCAAUCCACGUGUCUUGAAGUUGUGGUGGUAGCAUCUCCUGUAUCAAUAUUCAGUAAAACAUAUACAGUAUACAUGUCAUUGCAAAUUCACAUGUUUUUGAAGGAAUGCAGAAGCAAAAGAACAUGAUAUUUACACACACAUACUUCACCGGGAAAUAAGAAAAGGUUGAGAUCGUUGUCAAUUGUCAAUUCCACAUGUCUUGAAGUGGUUGCAUCUCCUGUACUGUGGCUUGCAAGCAACCGGUUGUUCAGUUCAGGCACACGUUGCGAUAGAGGCAGCGGCCUGUUCGUCGGGUCCAUGCACGUCGACCAUGGCUGCCUUGGAGCACGCCUUGCACUGGAGGCACCACCGGCCGACGCACACCAUGGACGUGUACCGCUCUCCGCACCCGGGGCACUUGGCGGGGCACUGGAACACCUGCCGCCCCGGCGCGGCCGGAGGCUUCUUUUCCGUCGGCGGCUUCGUCUGCCACGGCGUGUUGAGCCACGCGGGGCAGCGGGCGCACCUCAUGCCUUCCCGCCGCUCCCGGCGCCCGACCAUGCCGCGGAACUCGUUCUUGCAGGAGGGGCAGUAGAUGAGGAUGGGCUCGCGCGGCUCCUGCACCGGCGGCUGCAUCAUCAUCAGCACCGUCACCUUCGGCCGCGGAGGCCGGCCGGGCUGGGCAGCGGCGGCCGCCGGAGGCGGGGGAGUGCUCGUGUCCCGGUCCGCCGGUCUGGAGCGGGAGGGGGCGGGCCGCGGUGGCGAGAGGGCUUCAUCGUGUGCCUCCCGCAGAAGCCUGAAGGCGCUCUCGGCGGCGGCGCAGUGGGUCUUGUCCGGGUGCACGAGGAGCGACAGCCGCCGGAACUGCUUCUUGACGGCGUCCUGCGUGGCGGCGUCGGCGCCGGGGCCUAUGCUGAGGAUCGCGCGCCAGCCGCCGGCGCCGCCGUCCGCGGUGGCGUUGGCGUGGACCUUGUAUGCCGCGAUCGCGUUGUCCACGUCCGGGAGCGACGGGCAGAGCCGCUUCGCGUUCUCGGCCAUUUUGUGCGCGUCGACGAUUUUGCCGGCGAGGAAGAGCUCCUCCUUUCUUCCUCGCGUUACACACCGCCAUGUGGGAGUCUGCUGGAUUGGAUUGGAUUGGUCUGGAGAUGGACGCAGCCUGCUUUGUGCAUGGCCAGGGAAAUAUAUAGCUGCCUGUUCAUCAGUUGGACUCCGAUUGGAGUCGGCGUUUUCGUCUCCGCGCGCCGCGCGUUCCAGUCGGAGUCGAGUCCGAAUUGCCCUGGAAACACUGGGCUCCGCUCCGGAAUCGCCGCGGUCUAUCGUACUAGCCUUUUGUCUUUGUCAUUAUAUAAUUCAAAAUUAUUUUUACGUGAGGAAGCUAAUGAAUGUUUUUAGCAAAUUUGAUCAAAACUAUGAAUGUUUAACUCGGUACUUUUAUAUUGUAAUUUUUUCGGACCGGAGUGUGUUUUUGUCAUCUGAUGGAGUAGGUUACGAGCAACUAAAGUAAUAAUAAUAGUAUCAGUUUGUAUGUAAUGUGCCAAUACUUUUACGGUGUAACUGGUUAGCACAACACGCUAAAGAAGCGGUUGACUGAUUUUUGUUUGUAUGUAAUGUGACACCUUUUCAAUUUUCUUUUCUCAUCGCAUACUCUCACUGCCUUGGAGAAAGUGUACAUGUAGAUUCCCCUCCUCCCCCCUCCUAAGAGCCUAUUAUUUGCCUUUUUUUUCUUGCUUGUAUAUUAGGCCAGUUUUAGCCUAAUAUAUAAUCCCUCGAUUUUCACUUUUUUAACCAAUCCCUCGAUUCCAAAUUAUAUAUACAUCACUUUAAUUUAUAAUUCAAAUAUAUAACACUUCUACCAACUUUUCUUAUUAGAAAAUAUAUCAACAUCUACAAGUUUAUAUAUAUGCACUAUCAAACCUAUUUUAUGAAGGAUUGAGUGCAACUGAUUUGAAGGUCUAGGUAUUGCUAAGUUUCUUUAUAAGCUUGGUCAAAACUACAUAAGAUUGACUUAGGACACAACAAAGUGAACUAUGAUUCAGGAUGAAUAUAGGUAGAUGGCAUUCAACUCUACCUCUAGGAUAGAAUUAGUGUUAUUAUUAAGCCAUCCAAAUUCGUCACCAUUGGCACGAAGCAUUGAAUUAUUUUAUUUUAAAAAAAAAUACAUUAGUGUUAGCUACUUAGCUUCAUAUUACUCCCUCCAAUAAUACAAAUAAGGAAUUAAUAAAUACUAGCAAAAGUACCCGCGUGUUGCAACUGGAGAAGUCAUGGAGAGUUUUGAUAUCUAUAUUGUUUUGUCUUGAAAGCUAUUGUUUUUAUUGCACCCGAAGCUAUGCUCACACACGCACACGCACACCGCACCCAUGCACACACGCCCGCACGCGCGCGCACACACACCGCACACGUUUUCUCUUCCACUUUCAAUUAUAGCAUCAAAAAAUCAACAAAUAUAACUCCAAUAAAUUUACAUAGUGUACAAAAUUUCAUCAUACAAUUUUGUUAAUUAAUGUGGAAACAUAAUACCCUCCUUUUUUACUUUACUUUUUUUCUUUUUCUCAUCCUUAUCUGCUAGAUCAAACUCGAGUGGCCUCAUUCACUCGCACCCUGUGGCUUCCCACUUUGGCUAACUGAAGCCUUGCAAAUGCGACCAUGAAGCCCUAAUGGUUUGACGGUCAUGGCACCAUGGCGCCCAUGGGGUCGCGACGUGAGCAUGCUCUGGUACUUCCAUGCUUUGCCAUUCUGACAGCCUGUCGAGUCUAUGAGACAGAGCCCCGAUAGUUGCACACGCCAACAACUGCACAGCCUCGCCCGCGUCACCGUCUUCUAUCUCCUCGACCUCACCUUGUGUCGUUACUGUCGCACAUCCUCGCCUCGGUCUCACUCACACGCUGUCUCAUCAAGUUUUGCCCGACCUCGACAUGGUCUCCAAGCCUUGUGCCAUCGUCGUUUCGGCCACGACAUAUUUUCGUGCCACCUUGUUUGACUUGAUAGGGUGUCGUUCUUAUAUAUAGUUUAAUCGGUUGUUAAACACUUUUGGGGUCAGGGUGCCUGGGGGCACGAGGCUGUGGUCGCCAAUCGCGUCGGUCGCUAGCUAUGGGCGCGCGGCCAUCGGGGGACGUGCUCAGCUCCGAGUCAUGUACGUCGGCGAGUGCGCCUCUGAAGUGGGGCUAGAGGUGGAAGGCUGCAACUCCCUCCAAAAUGACCAAAGCCCUUGGCCCAUCGCUGAGGGGGCGGGGCCACCUAGGGGCGUGGGGUUGUGGGCGCUAGUUGUGUCGGUCGUCGGGGGUGCGCUCGGCUCGGAGCCACGUAUGGCGGCAUCCUCGGUCGCCGGAGGCGCGUUCGGCUCCGAGUCACGUACGCACAGGUUAUGUCUGCCGGGCGCAGCGUCCGCUAGGGGCAUGGGGUUGCGGCCCCCGGUUGCGUUGGGCACCAGGGGCAUGUGGCCGCGGGGGGGGGGGGGCAUGUGUCCACAGAGGGGUGCAAGGCUGCCUCCGCCAGACACGCCGGCCACUGGGAGGGCAAGGGGCACCCGUCGAGAUGUGUGGGGUUGUGUCCGCCGGACGCCGAGGGGCCGGGGCCGCUGAGGGGCGCGCGGAUGCAGCCGCCAAGAGGUGCGUUGCUGUAGCUGCCGAUCAUGCGGCCACCGGGGUGCGCGGGGUCGUCUCCGUUGGGCACGGCGGCCGCGAAGACAGUUUUUUUUUUGCCCUUAAGGCAUAUGGUCUCACUCUCCUAUCCAUUGAAUUCACAUUGAAAAAUGUACAACACACAUUCCAAUACAGUUUUACACUGAGAUAUAUGGCGGCCGCCCUCUGUGCUCUACGCUAGCAGCACCAAAUGAGUAGGACAAGUGACCCUACACCUAGUCCAAUCCCAAGUAGUAUCCCUACGAGCUCCCACCAAUGACCGGUGUCCAUCAUGAUCGGGUUCCUGCCACCUCUUCCUCGACGUAUCCUCUCUCACAGUACUGGGCUUUGUGAGGCCCUGUUUAGUUACUCCCCAAAUUUUUUUCAUCCAUCCCAUCGAAUCUUUGGACAAAUACAUGAAACAUUAAAUGUAGAUAAAAAAAUAAACUAAUUACACAGUUUGGUUGAAAAUCGCGAGACGAAUUUUUAAGCCUAAUUACUCCAUGAUUAGCCUUAAGUGCUACAGUAACCCACAUAUGCUAAUGAUAGAUUAAUUAUACUUAAUAGAUUUGUCUUGCAGUUUAAUUUGUUUUUUUAUUAGUUUCUAAAAACCCUUCUCGACAUCCUUCCGACACAUCCGAUGUGACAACCAAAAUUUUUUUCUCCACCAUCUAAACAGGGCCUUAGUUUAUAAAAUUUUUCAUAUUUCUUAUCGCAUCGAAUCUUACGGCAAAUGUAUGCAACAUUAAAUAUAGAUAAAAAAAUAAAUAAUUACAUAAUUUAUCUAUAAUUUACGAGGCGAAUCUUUUGAGCCUACUGAGACUGUAUACUUUUGUUUUCGUCUAUAUUUAAUGCUUCAUGCAUGUGUCACAAGAUUUGAUGUGAUAAGAAAUCUUAAAUUUUUUUUGGUUUUUGGGUGAACUAAACAAGGCCUAAGGAUGCCUUGGUUCUUUGUGAAGCUCUGUAAAGAGUAUCAAACAUUGAGGUUCUAUUUGGUUUCCCUUAUAUCAGUUCCUGUUUUUUUUCCUCUGAAAUUAUUAUUAAAAAUUAAUACUCCUGGUUUUUUUAGGCCUUGUAGUUCCCAAAAAAUUUUGCAAAAUUUUUCAUAUUUCCCGUCACAUCAAAUCUUUAGACACAUGCAUGAAGUAUUAAAUAUAGACAAAAAUAAAAACUAAUUGCACAGUUUGGUCGGAAUUGACGAGACGAAUCUUUUGAGCCUAGUUAGUCCAUGAUUGGACAAUAUUUGUCAAAUACAAACGAAAGUGCUACAGUAUCGUUUUUUCAAAAAAUUUUGGAACUAAACAAGGCCUUACUUGUCUGGAAACUUUUGCUAUACAUAUUAGGAAUAUAUACUCUUUAUUUCUGAACGUCCAUUCUAAAUGUUUAGUUUUUUCUCUCUUUAACUUUGGGUGCUAACCUUGCCUGUUCUGGUACUUGUUUCAGCGGAUUGUGUUUCCAGGAGCAGCUGGAGCAUACAGAGUUUCGCAGCUUCUCGUUGUGGGGUUUGCAGCUCCGUGGACAGAUGACCUGUUUCAGUACCAACGACAUCCCAUCAUCUCUUUGGGGGAUCGACGAAACAUGAGUAGAAAAAAAAAAAGCAACUCACAAUUGUCAUAGAAGCCAGGUGUCCUGCUCAACCAAGUUCUCCCCAGGAUCAACACUGACGAGUAAUGUGAGAGACUCGAGCAGUGGCGGAGCCAGAAUUUUAAACUUGGGUAUUCCUACUUUCACAAAGUUAAUUUAUAGGUUGAAAAUAUAGUCAAUUAUACUGCAAGUUAGCAACUUUAAACUAAUAUUUGCUUUCUAGAAUAUAGACUUCUAAUUGAAAUGCUAGUUUUUUUACAUGUUUUGAGCUCAAAUGUGCAAAAUACUAUAUAUUAUAGCAUUAUACAUUUAUAUAUAUAAGUGUAUACACAUAUUUACGUAGAAGUGUACCAAAAUAGUUGGGUAUUCCUGUGAAUACCGGGGAAUACCCCUAGAUCCGCCACUGGACUCGAGACAAGUAAGCAGAAGAUCACAUUAUUUAACGACUUACAAUCUCAACCAUGGCACUUCACGAUUUGCACAUGCUUCCUUGAAUUUUUAAGAACAAACAAGCAAAUCAGUGAUUCAGUGGCAUGCUUGUAUUGUAGCAGCAAGCAAUAUAAUGCAUCAUAGUCGCAAACAAACCUUCACCAUCCCACAAAGUCUUGGUCCAAGAAAAGCUUUUCAUGCAGUUGCAAAUUAAAGGAUGAUGCAUGAUAGAGUCGACGUCGUCGUUCGUCUAGCCGGCGGCGGCGCCACACCUGCAAGAGACACACACAUGCACAGUCCCGUACGUAUUCUUUGCAAUGCAACAAGGAGGAGAGGCUUCAGAAAGCGAUGGCCCGGUGGCGGUCGUACACGGCCUUGAGUUCCGAACAAAUUUCGGAUUUCGCAACUGUAAUACUUUCGUUUUUAUUUGACAAAUAUUAUUUAAUUAUGAACUAACUAUGAUCAAAAGAUUCGUCUCGCGAUUUACAGACAAACUGUGUAAUUAGUUUUUAUUUUCAUCUAUAUUUAAUGCUUCAUGCAUGGGCCGCAAGAUUUGAUGCGACCUAGAAUCUUAAAAUUUUUUUGGAUUUCCGGGCUAAACAAGGCCGUAGACGAAGACGUCGUAGGAGCAGGCCUGGCACCUGAGCUUGCACAACCCACGGGACACCAGCGACGAGAAGGUCGUUUUGCACCGGGAGCACUCGGUGCGGCACGUGAACUUCACCCGAUCGUCAUCGUCACGUUGCCGCCGCGGCGGUGGCUCGGCGGCGCUGCCUGCCGGGGGCGGGUCUGAGGCACCCUCCGCCUGGCUCUCCCGCGGCGGCGGCGGCGGCGGAUUGAAGGCAGUGCCGCACGAAUGGCACCUGCCGCCGGGCGUGCCGUGGCGGCCGCCUCCCGCGGCGGGCUCCGAGCUGCAGUGCCCGCAGUAGGCGGUGCCCUUUUCGCGGGCGUAGCUCGACCGCCACGCGCUGAAGUUGGCCGAGGAUGCCGACGAGAAGGGCGGCGGCGGCGGCGUGUAGCCGUACGACGACCAGGUGCGCUCGGGCGGCGGCUUGUAGCGGAAGUGCGACGACCACCAGUCGCGGCCGGGCGCUCUGGGCGGCGGCGAGCUGCCGAAGAACGAGGACCACCAGUCAGGGUCUGGCGCUCCGGCCGGCGGCGAGCUGCCGAAGAACGAGGACCACCAGUCAGGGUCUGGCGCUCCGGCCGGCGGCGGCCUGGGCUUGGCGCCGGUGCCGAGGCCGGGAUCGGGGACGGUUCCUGGAGGGUGGCGAGCGGAGAGCACCUCCCACGCCCGCUGGAGCAGCUUGAACGCGCCGUCGGCGGCCGCCGAGCGGUUCUUGUCCGGGUGCAGGACGAGGCAGAGGCGCCUGUACCGCUUCUUGAUGGCGUCGUGGUCGUGCGCGACCGUCUCCGGCUGGCCGACGCUGAGAACCGCGUACCAGCAGUUCCUCUCGCCGCGGGCGGCGGCGUGGACCUCGUAUGCGGCGAGGGCGCUCUGCAGGGCAGGGAGCGACGCCAAGUGCCUCUUGGCGUUCCGGGACACGCGGAGCGCGCCGUCUAGAUCGCCGGCGAGGAAGCGCUCCUCCGCGUAUCUGAAGGCUUUCUCCGCCUUCUCCGUGCCGGUCGCCAUGAGAGAGUCAGAGCCGGCGACCGAUGGGACUCGGCGUCGACGAAACGAGAUAUAUCGGGCAAAAGGCGCGGCCAGUCCGACUCGAACUUGCGUGAUCGCAAUCUACGCGGAGGCAGCCCAAGUCGGCGCUUUCAUGAUGAGUCGAUGAGCUACCGUCUCGGACUGGCGCAAUAUUGUUUGGUUAAGCACGUUGAAGUUUAAUAAAUAUUGUAUUAGUAAUUUCUAGGCCAAACAUUUAUCUCCAAAAGAAUCGAUUUCUGUAGAUAAACGGUCCACCGAUCCAUAUUUAGUCUCUCUCGUAAUCUGAUCCAUCAGUACGCAAGAUAUAGAAAGAACAUUAUCCCUAAAUUGCAUGUUGGAGACCAGGCUAUCACUCACAAAGCAUGAGGAUAAGGCUGUUUUUAUGACAAUCUCAUCGCGACUGAGUGUGCUAGAGAGAGUACUGUUAAUCUAGACACCCUUGGCCAGUCCCAGCUUUGAUCUUGAAGCUUUAGGGUUUGUUUGGCACAGCUCAACUUCACUAGUAAAGUUGUUUUUUUAGAAAAUAGCUUCAUGAGUGACUUUCUAGAUGAAGCUGAGCUGUUUUGGAGAAAGUGUUUGGCAAAAUAGCUUCACCAACUACUUCAUGCAUAGUUAAGAGAGAGAAAUGAGAGAGAAGCUGCAAUAAGCUACUUUUUUUCCAGCUUCAUCCAACUUAUGUCUUUGUGAGAGAAGGAAAAAAAUAGCUUCACCCAUAAAGUUGUUUUGGAAAUAAGUGUUUGCCAAAAAAAACAGCUCACAACAGCUCAUGAAGCUGUUGUGAGCUGUACCAAACAGGCCCUUAGAGUUGCCUUUUUCUGAGGAAUUAGGCCUUGUUUGGAUGUAGUCGGAUUCGCAUCAAUCCACAUGUAUUGGGUGGAUUAGAGUGAAACUUGAACUAAAUUCCACCCCAAUUCACUCCAACACAUGUGGAUUGAGGUGAAUCCGACAACAUCCAAACAAGACCUUAAGGAGAUGCCACCUGAUAAGGCUAUAAUAUUACUUAUGUGAAUUUGCUUUGAUAUUUCAACACAAAAGUAAUUUUGUCUCAAAUUCUGUGAUUGCUCCUCAUCACAUUUAAAGAGUCAUACAACUCAGUAUGGUAUGGGUAUCCUCUUGAUUCCCAGUACGUAACGCUUCGGCUUCGGUUUUCACAGAUACACCACCAACACAUCCUCACAUUUUACCGAAGCACAUCGAUGGUAAAACAAACGCAGGAAUUGCACCGACGGCAACAGUUUAUUAUUAGGAUCAGAAAUUUGUCCGACGGCAACAGUUUAUUAGGACCUCCCAUAUGAGAGGAGCAGGUUAUUAGAGUUAGGUUUGGGCUCUGACCCUACCGCCACCUCAUUUCUUCAUUGCAGUUCUCCAACAGGUGCUUCGUUGAGCCACAGGAAAUGGAUGAAGUCAUACAGCUUAGUACUCACGCUUACCUGUUCAGGUACAACGAUGCAUGAUAAAAUAUGAGCUCGAUCAAAUUGUCUUAGCUUGUGACAUUAAUAGCAUCCAGAUCAAGAGUAAGAUUAGACUACCUUGUAAGGUGUUGGGUUCAGCCGCCUCAUAUGGUCUGGUCUCAUUCGGUCCAGAUGGUGAAUACACCGAGUCCUAAUCUCAUGGAUGGAUGGAAGCACCUCCCGUGGAUUCGCUUCACCAAUUAAUAACACAACACAUGUUGACAUCAAUGGCUCGCAGCUUAAAUACUUGAACAAUUUUAUUAUCCAUCUAACAAUUUGAACUAAACCAGGACACACAUUUAACUGAUGAAAGUGAUAAUUCCUACAGCUCUUGCGAUAUGGCUGUUAUGAUAGCAGCGCAUAAUCCCUAUUGCCAGAAACCUUAUUCUAUAUUUGGCUCUGGUGAUUAGCAUCAUACGUGCAGUAACAAUAAGUUAUAUUAGGUAAUGCCAAUACUAGCAGCACAUCAUAGUCUAUGUGUAUUGUAAAUAUGUUUCAUGAAAGACAACUAGCAUGGUCAAUGGAACAUGCAUGCACAAGCCACAAGGGGCAAAUAAGGUUACAAACACUAUGCAGAAGUAACUCAGGUGGGAGUUCAUACAUGAAGUUCCAGGCCAGUAGCACCUCAAUAAUUCCUCAACAUGCUGCGGAACAACAUAUGCUCUCUUUGAUUCAUUGAAAGGGUGCCGACACAGGAGCCUUUCACCAAUCUAUAAACAAAUGGUAAAUCAUAAAACCCACCAGCUGUUUCAGAUUUCGUAAAAAAGUAACUAUGGCAUACAAAAUCACAACUGAAAGAAAGAACAUGUAGGUGCCAUGUAGCCUAGAACUUUGAAGUGAUUUUUUUAUGCAAGCUCACCGUUUGUAUUUUUAAGCAUUAACAUGGAUAUUGUUUACCUUUGGACCUGGCUCAUCUUCUCCAGUCAUUAUAUCAACCAAUGGAUAUCCUUCUUUGCCAUACAAUCUGUAGCAUUUUUUCUUACAUGGUAUCGAUACCUGGAGCAGACAACUAAGUUCUCGGUCUGUUUGGAUGCAUAGAAGAUAGCUAACUUGUUUCUGCUAUGAAGUAAUAAGCAUACAUACCUUUGAGACAUCUUCAGAAAGCUUAAUGCGAGGCUGUUUGUUAAUCUCAACUAAUUUGAAUACACAACCAAGUGCAGCUUGUGCAUAGCAUGUAACUAGGUUGGUGCCAAUACCAAAUGCAUCUACCUCAUGGCCCUACACAAAAAUAUGACAAUAAUCAUGCAUAGAUUGUAGUGACAUGAUAAAUGUAAUUAAUGCGAGCACACAUGUAUUUAUCACGGCCUUGUACAUUUUAACCUGCUUGCACAGCCAUGUGUUGUGUUGAAUUCAUCAUAACAAAGAAUUAAACAGAGAUUCCCACUAGCCAGUUAACUGCUACCAGGUAUUUAGCACAAAUAAUUCAUUUAAUAAUAUCUGAUCAUUGGAUCACACAUAUCAUUAGCACAAAUUUACACAUGUCAGAAAUUACAAUAUACAUAAUUUCUAAACCUGUUCUACAAGAGAGAUUUCUACAUGCUACAAUGUCAACCAUUUUGGAUGGUACUAUACGGAUUACCUGCUUGUUCAGGGCAUCUAUAGUUUCUUCAUUAAGGUCAUUGCUUGCUGUGAUUCUUGUUUUCUCAAAACCAACAACUCCAAAUUCUUUUUCAAUUGCACGGAAGAACUUGCGGGUCUCAAUGGACAGGUAUGCUAAAUCACCAGAGUCCAACCUAAUUCCGACUGCCUUAUACCUGCAAUGAAAACUUCUGUAAGUACCAGUGGCAAAUGCUUAUCACUGAUGUUUUCUUUGGAACACUUAACAAUCACUAAUAGAUCAAUGAAGUAUCUGUGACGUCACAUACUUCUGCUCAAAUUGCAUAUUUGACAAUACUAACUCGAAUUUGCCAUUUAUAAAAGCAUGAAUUGUAAAUAUGAAACUGGUCAGCUCCAUCAUGCUGUGGCAUGACAAAGUUGCCCCUAUCCGCAUGUCUGUCCUCUGCUUGGUGUCUGCUCCAUCUGACAAUAUCAAUAGUCAGCCGGGCCCCCUAAGCUCUUGACGGCCCAUGGCCAAUUCCUGUGCUUGAGACCUCCCACCCACCAACAGCCUCUCUGGCUCCUGCUGAGCUUGUAUGCCAUGGCAUUGUUGUAUGCCACCCACUGCACAGUUUCAUACUUACGGACAAACACAGCCGAGAUCGAAACCAAUGAAGACGAACUGCUCUACAGAUCUACCCUAGGAGCAAGCUAACUGAUGCACAAAGGGAGCAAUUGGGAUGAACAAAGCCAUGGCUUGAGCAAACCAAACAGGAACUUGAGUCACACAAGACAAUAAACCCGACAGUGGUGGCUUGUGAGCUCAUAGUGUAGUGCUGCACUUGGUGCGGACAGGGAACAGGAUCCCAACAGCGGUGCUUCAAGACCAUAAAAAAACUUGAGUAAAAUUCACUUGUCAAAUCUUGAGUUAUAGCAAGUUGCUAAUUUAUUUAGCAAAAGAAAAAAGGAUGUGUCUCCAAUAAGUUGCUAUUCUCACUUGGUAAAAAUAGAGGAUGACAGAUGGGACCCGCUCACUUGGUAGAAGAAUAUGUGUCUCCAACAAGUUGCGUUCGGGAUAGCAACUUGGGAUAGCAACUUGACAAAUCUCGGCAGUAGAAACCUCUGAUAGCAACUUGGGAAAUUUAGCAAGUUGAGAUAAGGAGUUGUUGGAGGAGGAUUUUUAUGCUUUUAGCAAAUUUGGUAGGAUAGCAUGUUGAAAUAACAAGUUGUUGGAGAUGCUCUAAAACCGAAUAUAAUGGAAGGUGCUCCCGUUGAAUUAUUGAAAGGCAACCCGUUUUGGAGGUUGGAAGGUCAGGAUGUGUAGAAGACAUCCAGGGGGCAUCAUAAAAUGGAGGCCAGCAGAAGAGCUCAUUGACUACGUUGAUAACUGGCACAUAAGUUCAGAUAGCUCAGGUCUGUGUGGUUGGGAGGCCUAGCUCAGGUGGAUUGGUGGCUAGGAACAGGGAGCUGCAGAAGGUUCAAUGGCUUGUAGAGGACAGCGACGAUGUGUGGUAGCAGCCAUGCAUGGUGGGAUGAGAGGGGCAGAGGUUGGGGGUACUUGGGUCAUUUGAACAGUGUCAAGUGAAUUGGGCAAUCCAGUUGCAGUUCACGCCUUGCCGAUAGACCGGGACUUCCAAUUGUAAAUUGGGUAAUUGGGUUACUUGAGCAGUGUCAAGUGAAUUGGGCAAUCCAGUGGCAGUUCACACUUUGCCGAUAGACCGGGACUUCCAAUCAUAAAUUUAUAAUUUGAGUUUUUAUAGCGGCAGAUCGAAUUUUUAGUCAGACUUAUCAAGUACAAUAAAUAAUUUUUAGAAUCAUUUGUUACUGAAAUAUAUAUAAAAAAUAGACCAACCUAGGAGGAACAAGGUGGCAUUUUAUUAAUAUUAAGAAGGAAAUGGCACCCAAAUUAGCCUUUUUAGACGAGGACUUGAACCUAAGUGGUCUGGGUAUACAUCCACACCCUCAACCAACCGAGCUAGCUCAACUUCCUUGUUGCUGAAAUAUCAAAGCAACUAAUACUCACAUGCAAACCUGGAGUCUCCUAAUACACAUGAGAUGCAUUUCUAGAGUAACCAAAAAAAUGCACUUAGGGUAGCAGAUUCGUAAAGCAAAGAGCCAAGAGAGCAAGUGCUGGUGUUGGUUCUUAUGCCCAAAAUGCUUGUUAGGGAGAAAAAAUCUUGCUAAUUAGUGUUACAUAUCAGUAUAUCACAAUAAAAGUCCCUGAUUAUUCCUAAAUAUUCAUGCCAUCACUUCUAGGUAAGUUAGGCAACAAUGAACCUCAAAACUGGAGCUUGAGUAAAAUGGAAGGGCUAAUGAAAAGACAAGUUUAUGAAAGUGCAAUUGAACUUUAUAAAGGAGGCAACCACAAAGUUUUACUUGUGCUCGUUGAGAAAAGGAAAACCAAGAGUAUUAAGGAGACGAGCUCAGACAAAAUUACCCCAUAUCAUUGAGGGCCAAAGCAACAGCACAGAAGUUUGGCACUCCACUUCUCAUGACCUAGCAGUGGCAUGGAUUAAAAUAUCAGAUAUGCUCAGAUAGAAGUUGAUGUGCUAAUUCUAUCAAGGUCAUCCCUAAACAUUCACUAUCUCAUGAGUAAUCCACUAUCUCUAGUAAUCCUAAGCUGGAUAUAAAUAAUAAUAACUAGCAGGUCAGAAUAUAUGCACUAUGCAGGUUAGAUGCCCAUAAUAUAUCCAUCAGAGACUAAGAAAGCAAAUGAAAAUGCCUUGGUUUUGGUUGCAGGAUAUCGGGAACUGAGCCUAGCUUAGUUGUAUACCCCCCCCCCCCCCCCCCCCCCAAUAGCCAGUUUCAAGUUCUCUUCAACUUGAAUUUGGGUGCCUUUUUUUAUUAACAAUUUCACAGCUCCUCCUAGGUUGGUCGAGCUUCCUUUUUUGGUUUUUUUCUACCUUUUGAUAUUUUUUUUCUCGAACUAUGCAGGAGAGCUGCAUGUCAUUUCAAGAAUCAUUAUGGUGUCUGCAAUGUUUAUCCAGCCCAGGGGAAAAAGCAUUAAACAGAAGAAACAUUAUUUUGCACAUGCCACAGAAAACAUAAAGACACAAUUGCUGACAAAGAUCAACUUACAUCAUAUGUGUCAACCAAGGCCAGGAAGGAAUUUGGAAAUGCCAGUGCAUAUGACGUGAAUGCAGCCAACUCACUUUGGCUCGUUUCUCCAAAGGUACCAUGCAAUGAACUAGAUUCCUGAGAAUAACAAAUUAUAGAUCUUGACUAGAAAAGUUGAAAACAAAUUACUAAGUACCAGGAGUUUUGUAACUUGCAAGAAGAAAAGGAAUAAGUGCACAUGAAAUAUCUAAUUCAGCAUCCUUUUCCAAAGCUGAGUAGGUAAUAAUUAAUCUGUAACAUGAGCAGCACCUGAAUCCUGAUCAGCCAAUUCUGCACCAGAGAGACAAAGUCUUCACAUUUCUUUGAACCAUCAGAACUAGUAAGUGCUUUGUUGGUAAUUUCAUCAAGACCCUGCAAAACGAUACUAAGUUAGAGCAGAAGUCCACUGGGAAUGAUCAGAAUAGAUUUAGCUCUCAUCCAGAACAAAAAUAUGAAUCACAUAGUUGCAAAGUUCAUAGCGUAAUAUCUCAUUGCCCACUUUAGCAUUUGAUCCCUGAGUGCACCUUCAGACCUUCUACAUUUACAUCACGGACAAAUUUCAAAAUAUCCAAUCCUGAAACGUCUUUGUUGGGUGAACACUAUGCAUGCUAGACUUAACAGGAAAACCUCAAAAUGUACAAGACAAGAUCCCUAUCUUCAUUAUAUACUUCACCCAUCACCCCACAUUAUUAUCUGAUUGAAUAUUAGGGGGUAGCAGUGGCACCUGACAAACCAUCUGGGUUAUCAAAUGCAAUCCAACUAGAAAUUGUUUUGCUAAAUAUGCAAACUAACAGAUUCAUCAUUUCUCAAGCUAUGAAAUAGUAGUUUAAUCCUAUAAUUGUGCAAACGAGAAACAGAGGAACUAUGGAACAAAGCAUGCUUGCACUAUCUGAACCUGAUAAACAAGUAUGUACAUUACUAAACAUUGGAUCUAACUACAAAGAAAAGAACAGUUGGAAUACGACUAAUGUUCAAUGUUUCUCAGAAAACUCCCAAAAAUGACAGUAAAUUUAAUCAUUCACAAAGCAAGAUUGGAAUACCAAGAAGUCACCACUAACCAUGAAGGAGCUCACAAAUGCAUGUGAAUGAGUCCCACGUAUUGGUAUCCCAAACAAUCUUCCUGCUGCAACAUUGCUGUUCAGGUAGAUAUCAUAUAUUAUGAUGGUGAAAUCAGACUUUCCUUCCAAGUAAAUUUGUAAAAUAAUCUUCUAGCAUUGCAAGAUCAAGUAUACCUACUCAGUUGGAAAAAUAUGUCACCUCGACAUUCUAUAUGUUACUAUUCUAGAGGGUUCAUUUAGAUUGCAUCAGUACCAUAAACAGUCAAACCUAGGCAGACAAAUACCCAGAAGAGCGCAGAAAAUAGCCAAUUUAAGCUAUGAACGAGUCCAAAAAAGAAAAACUCAAAAGGCUAGAUAGAGUCAGAGCAUAUAGUAUUCUAUAACUACAGCACUGUGUUCAUUGAGUGAACAACGCAGACCUUGUUGCAUCAAAGCCUCCCAUAUAACAAUAUCUUGAUGCACUGAUUCCUCCAUCAGGCCCCUGAUAGAUGAGUAUUUAUAGGUCUAACAUACAAAGGUUAAUGGAUGAGCAAGCAAAACAGAAUGAAAAGUAAGACCCACUUGAGCCCGUCGAAGUCCAAAUUCAAGUAAAUUCUUUGACUUUCCAGCUACAAGUCGGUGUCUUGCCGCAUUUGUGGUAACCAGAGAAGCAUAGUUGACCAGACUUAGAAAUGGAGUUUCAAGAAGCUGGACAACCUGGCACAAAAAUCGCAAUCUCAAUGUAUGGGAAAACUGAAAUAUCAAUACAAGUUAAAAAUGUGUCGAUCUACAUCAGCUACUGUUGUGAAGCUUCUACACGCUAACUUACUCCUGGUACUUACAGCAACAGGUCCUUCAAUUCUCAUCAGUGGAACUUUAGGGAACACAACAUAACCCUCGGGUAUGGCAUAAACCUCCACAUCUGAGCAGUCAAUCGAACGGAGGUACUCAAAGAAGCCAUCCUACAAAAAGAGCGGUGACUUGGAAGCAUACAUUAGUUGGUUGCCAGAAGACAGGAAAGAACCAUUAUUAUAAUAUGAAAAGGGCACAGUUGAGCUGCUAAUGAAAACAAAAAAUGUUCUUCAACUGUACAUCAUGCAGAAUUUCCCAUAACAUGAUCCAGUUUUUUCAACAAGACUAGCAAACCCACCUCACAUGUAGGCAUGACAGAUCGCAGAAAUUUGAUUUCAUCCUCCGUGAACUUGAAGUUAGCAAUGAACCUUAUACAUUCCUCGAGGCCACCAAAGAUGGUGAACUCACCGCCAAAUGGACUUUUCCGGAAGUAGAGAUCAAAACUGAAACAAUUUCAGUUCGCAAUAAGUACAGGUGCAAGAGAGUAAAACAUAACUAGAAGACCGAUACAAACAGAAGAAGUGUGACGCUGAUUUACACACUUGCUAAACUACCCUGCAUUGUACCAAGUACCACCUAGAUAAAGCACUUGGCCUAGUGCAAACGGUUUUCCAUUGCAAACAUCUUAGUAAAACAUACUGAAAUGAAACUACCGAGAAGAGCCCAAAUCUGCUCAAGAGUUUAGCAGACCACAAUUAUCACAGUAGCCCAGCCUCUCGCACGAUUUCACAAAAAAAAAAGUAGAAAAAUAAUUCCAAAACACUACCCAGUGACGUCUAAUUCGAGGCGGGACCAUAUCUAUCAUCAUUCAUCCCCUCCUCACUGGCCUAACAAAUCGACCGCUACUCCGCCGGAGGUCAAGUGUAAACUGACACAACAAAUCGAGGGACAGGACAGAGGAGACAAAGGGAGCAUGGGAGAGUUAGGGGUGGGGAGGGAGCAGGGGGCUCAGGGCUAACACUGCGCGGUCGAGGUGCUUGCCGGCCUUCCAGUAGGCGUAGGCCAUGGUGAACUGGUAGAGGUCGGUGAGCAGCGGCGUCACCAUGGGGUUCGUCGGGCGCGGUACCCCGCCGCCGCCGUGGCUGGCGUCCCCGUUCGCCGCCGCCAUGUGUUGUUUUUUUUACCCUUACUGUGGCGCGCGUCUCGUGCUCCUGUGAUGGAGAGGAACGGAGGAACCGAGAGUAAAGCAGGGGAAGAGGAGUGGUGGUGGUGCCGGCUACGGUGGCGGCUCCUGGAAACCUUUUGAGCCGAAACCGAAAGCGAAAAAAGGCCGAGAUCGCGACGACGCGGACACGUGGCGCCCCCACUUUUACUGACGGGCCUGGUUGGCGUAUGGAGAACGCGAAUCACGACUGGGGGUGAUUCCCUGGACCGGAUACCAAAAUAGAAAAAAAAAUCUGCUAGAAACUCCUACUUUAAAAUCACAAAACUUAACAAAAUGGCAGUAAUAAAAAAAUUUGAGACUUAGAUUCUGUUAGUAUCUCAUUCCCUUACAGAUACUGUUCUACAUAAUAGACUUAUCCACAGAAGAAAACGAAGUUAAGGAUAAUCUUCAGUCAUGUGCUAGGCAGAAGAUGAAACCAGCAAAUUGUGCAUUAAAUAUCCAGAAUAAGCCAAACACAGCUCCUUCCUUAAUAGCUGUAACUUAACCUUGGACUAUGACCAAUCAGUGAUCACUAGUGGUUAUAUAGCAGAAAUCAGAAUUGAGAACAGGAUUAGCAUGAGUUGCAGUUCCAACAUCCACCUAAACCACAGAAUGAGAUGUUUACAUUGCACUCUACAGGGAGCACUAGCUGCAGCAUAGGCAUCGGCAAGGCCAGGAACAGAGUCCUUGUGACAGUCGAUGAACUUUGAUUUGAAAGUCUCUUCUGUAUAAUUCACUAAUUGGAAAAGGUUCAUAUCGCUAUCCAGAAAUCCCUUUUCCUGCAGCACUUUCAUGACAUGAUGCCGGGGCACUAGCCGCUUCUCCAAGCUGAAUGCCAGCAGGAUAGGCCUUUGCACAAUAUACGUGGCUCCAUCGCAGCCUCAUUGAUCAGGAACUCAAUCUUGCGAAGAAAAGUGGCAUCAGAUAAUCCUAGUAUCUGUGGCAUCUUGGACACUGCAAUGGAAACUUCAGACUCAGAACAACCAAGAGUCCUCUUCAAGAACUCAAGCUUGGCAGCAACCUUCUCUUUGGAAAGACUGGAGAUAACAGCCACUGCAUGCCUAAACAACCGGGAAGUAGGAGGCACCCCAAGUUCUUCUGCCCGGAGCAAAAACUCCUUCACGCGUUCCGGUUUGAAGGUAAGCACCCACGAUUUGGUUAAACAUAGCUGAGCAAUGUCCUGUACUCCCCACUGACGAAACAAAGCUACGUUGGGCUUGAUUAUCUUCUCAAGGCCCACCGUGAAGGUAAGCACCCAGGAUUGGGCUUGACGAAACAAAGCUACGUUGGGCUUGAUUAUCCUCUUUGCGACCAGCAGGACCCGAUCGAACAAGCCGAAUAAGGAGAUGAAGAACUCAACCUUGGGAGCGACAUCGCAGAUGCUGAGAGCGUGUGAGGCGACCAUGAGGAAGCGAGUGAUCUGGGGAGUAGACAGACCAACGCGGUCACGGAGAUGAAGAAGGCGGGGAGCGAGGUUCUUGGCGGAAGUGCGGAGGAGGAGCGGUUCCGCGGAGACGACGGCUGCGAUGUCGGCGCGGGAGAGGCCAGCGCUGUAGAGCAGGUCGAGGAUGGCAUCGGGGUUGGAGGCGGUGGCUGGAGAAGUCCUUUUUGUAUAGUAAGGAAAGCUUUCUUGGACACCUGGCGAUCUCUGCUAACAACCAUGCAACCGAGGGCAAGAUGGACAUUUCUCCUGCCUGGUCCCACAUGUUAGAGCUGCAAACGGUAGAAAAUAAACAGAAUGACGCACGGGUGUAGACGAAGAUGAAGUUGGACAUACAGGUACCAACGAAUUUUUUAGGGGCAUAGAGGUUCGACCCAUCUUUUAUAAUGGCUUUUAGGUAGAAAGCUCUCGGGGCGAGGCCGCAGGCGGCGACGAGGUAGUCCUCGAGGGAGAAGGGUGCGGGUAAGGUGGUGGAGGUGGAGAGGAGGAGGUGGCAGUAGCACGCGCGAGGGGGGGGGGCGGAUCGGGGAGGGUAGCGAGGAGGCAGCGCGGAGCAGAGGGAGGAGGCGAUUCCGGAGGCACAACAUGGCGACAACGAAGGGGAGGGAUGGACGGAUGGUGUUGUGCUGGGCUCCUGGGAGAAGGAGGCUGUGUGGGUUUGGAAUUCUAGGCCGCCAAACGGGCACAUGAAUUGGGCCGGAUGGACCGGGCCAUCAAAAUCGAAGGAGAGUUGACGAGCCGCAGCGACCACAAUUUGCGUGUGCUACGAAUCCAUCUUCAGUUCCCAUGUCUUGUAGCACAUGCAGUCUCAACAGUUUCCCAUUGUUGUUGAUGUCUCCCUCUCGGUGGGUAGCUGUCACAAAUCGCCCUGUUGUGCUUUCCUAGCCCAACUCAACUCUGUCACGCUUUGUGUAUCUCUUUUUCCCAGAGCGACCGCUGGCAUCAAUCUAGUAGUGUGAUCACAAAAACAUACAAGGUGAGUAAUGAUGCUAAUCACUUCGCACGGCCUCAUGCUUUAUGAAGCAUUUAGGUCGAAUACUCAUUUUAGUCUCUCAACUGUCGCUUGAGGUUUAGUCUUCAUCUCUGAAGUUUCAAAACGAUUUUUUAGGUCUUUAAAAUUUAUUUUUAAGCUCAGUUUUUUUUCCGAGAUCGGGCCAUUCACCCAUUUUUCUUUAAGCUCAGUUUCAUCCCAGGACUAUCAAAAGUGACCAUUUCAAGUGACAAACCUUGAAUUUUGGCCUCAAUUUUAUCCAUGAACUACUAAAGUACACCUUUCAGUCCUCAAGCUUUUCUUUUCAGCUCAACUUUAUCCCUAGUCCUACAUGGAACGCAUGAUGGCAAAAGGCACUGAUCAAGACAAGUCAAGAUGGGGCUAGAUGAUAUUGGGGUGACCCAAUAGCUGUAUUACUCAAGCAGUAGAUCAGUAUUACUUUUGAGUAGCAGCACAUUCUAAGUAACUGGCCAAGCAGUGGCUAAACUCACAUUGAAGUAGUUUGAGAAUGAGGAUAACAAGUCUGUGUCUACUGAUCGCCACUCCAGCUACACGGACGAUGAUAAUCAGGAAUUCACCAAGCCGUCCAAGCAAUCUCAUAGAAAUCCUGACCAGCAUUGUGGUCUGUUGAUUGCCUCAUGUUGCACUUCUAAAAAUGCAUUUUUUCCUCUUCUGGUGGCUCCAACCAAAAAUUAAACCUUCAGCAUUCCAUUAGGAACGUGGGUGAUAACAACUACAUUGCACUUUGAACGCAGUUAUGCCAGAUGGCUGCAGGUUUACAAACAAUCUCUUAAGUUGGACUCUUGUCUCCUUUGCUUUAGCAAUGGAACACAAGUUUGAUAGUGAUGACUGUCACCUUGAUCUCACUGAGUUAACAACAUUGAGGAAAAUUGGCACAGUGAAAGAUUAUGCCACACUCCCUGCCCUUUUCGAAGGUUCUUUGAAAAAAGAAGAUUAUGCCACAUGUUUUGAGGCCUUGCUGUUUCAAGUGCAUGAACAUCAAUCCCUACGGAUCAAUCUAGCAAUCAACAUAUAUGAUGGGCUUUUCUUUGUAUCUCAUCUCACUGAAUGAUGAAUAGCUUUUGAGGCCUUGUUGUUUCAAGUGUGCAUGCACAACAACAAAUAUGAUGACCUUUUCUUUGUAUCUCAUCUGACUGAAUGAUGAAUGAAAUUAAGGAUGAUAUAUACUAGGGCUAUAGUGAAAGCACAUGUAGAACUGACAGUGGAUAAAGCAUUUAUCAUUGCCAAAAUUCAGCAGAGCCUGUUGGAGAGAACCAAAAGUACAGGUCCUCGGAAAUAUGCACCUUUUAAUAGAACUGCCCAAUAAGCACCCAAGUACAACCAGAAACCCCAACCACAUAUUGGCAAUCUCUAGAAAGAAAGGCAACUCAUGCUUUAAUAGUUAAUGAUCUGGAUCAGCCACUAUCUGAUGAUAUCUUGAACCAAUUGGUUGUCGAAGAAGCACUUGCUGAAGACUUUUACCACCUCUCAUUAUAUGCCAUGACUGCAGCUGACAACUGGGUGCAUCAAAUCAAAUUACGAUUAUUCAUGGGCAACAAGGCUGUGCUUAUGUUACUAGACAGUGGACAGUCGCAGUUCUCAUUCAUUUGUCGGUACUGCUUUUGUUUCCAAAGCUAGGUUACCAAUUAUAUAGGUGUCACCAAAGUGUUAAGUUACCUAGUGAUUAUCAAAGAGAGUUAAGUUACAUAAUUGUGCCUAAAUUACCAAUGACAGUGUUGGAUCUGGAGGUCUAUGAUACUACAUUGGGGUAUGACUGGCUAAAAGCACAUAGUCCCAUAACAUAUCGAAAGAUACGGUUGAAUUCUAGUCUAAAAUUCCUAUCAUUUUUCUAUUUCAGCUGGUUUUAUAUCCCAAAAUAUGUGCUUCUCUGCUAGGGACUGCAUCUAGAAAGUGAACUUUGCUUGUUCAUGGUUGAACUUUAUAUUUGUGUUACCUGUUCUAUAAUGCAGUAACCAUGCACCUAGAUGUUUAGAGGUGAUGCAUUGUGGUAGAGAAACUUUUAUAUGCUCUUUGAAAAAAAAAGAAAAUGAACAAAAGAACACGCUUACAAGUCACAUUUAUUUUUAGCAUUGUUGGUUUACUUGGCCUCCAACGUGUAUGUUAUGAAGCAUCUUUAUUCAUUGGUUCAGGUAAUGUUUACUAUUGUGAACAGAGUUGUGUUAUCAUGUUGACGUGCGCCUGUUUGGUUCAUUGCCCGACCUCCAAACCACCAUUGGCUAGGCCCUGUGCAUGAAAGAUGGUGUUGUUUGGUUACUUGGCUUAGUUCAACCAGGACACAAGGAGCAGAUAUUUGGUUACCUGUAUCAGAUUCAAAAUGGCAAUAUGCACGAAACUUGUUUUGUUGACUGCGUAUAGGUUGGAGUUACCACUUGCUUGCACUGGUAAGACCACUCACAAUGCAAGACUCUAUCACAGAGUCCAAGACAAUUAAUUACAUAUUAUUUAUGAUAUUUUGUUGAUAUAACAGUAUAUUUAUUGAAGAAAGAGGUAGAAAAAAUAAGACUCCAAGUCUUAUUUAGACUCUAAGUCUACAUUGUUCGAGGUAAUAAAUAACUUUAAACUCUAUGAUAGAGUCUGCAUUGUGAGUGCCCUAAGCUCACCACCAGCUAGUCUAAGAGGGUUACAACAGAAAGAUUGCUUUCAAUAUUACAUCAAGUUUGAAAGCAAAAUUACAAACACUAAAGCUUGGACUAAUAUUAUUGCACCCUCCACUAAAAUUAUAAUAUCUUUCCAUGUCGCACCACCCCUCUUUAGAUUAGCUACUGCAGGCUCUGGUUCAUUUGCACGAGUAUCAGUCAUGCGAACAUCGCCAGCAACUUCUUGGGCAAUAAUCCUAGCAGGUGCCACAAGGGAAUCUGUAAACGUAGACUUGCCUACAAGAAUUAAUAAUACUACCAUAUAAGAACGAUGUGGAACUUCAAUAUGUGCAACAUAGAGUAGUACAAUAUUAGGGACAGACAAGCAAAUCAAAAGUUAACAAACACACCAGUAGAUUACAGUCUAGAGUAUAUAGCUAUUAAUUGAUACCAUAUAAAACACAAAAGAUAAAUACCUGAACACAAGUAGUUAGCUAGGCCUAAAAUAGAUAGUGCAACAAGAAAUGAAACAUCUGUUGUAAAAAAAUACAGAUCUUAAUUUUACUUUUUACGGUAGUAGAGCUUAAUAUUGAAAACACCAAAUUAAUAACACACAAGUAUAUUUAAUACAUACAGCCAAUAGAUAAUAUAUAUGACAAUACCUAGAGAAAACGAAUACACUAAAUACAAGAUGAAAAUAAACAAUAAGCCUAUUUCAUACAUGGGAUAGAUAUCUGUGACUAUUGAAACAAUAAGCCUAUAGUAGAUAAUGCGGCAUGAAUAGAACCAUCAGCAGUCAAGCACAGUACAGAGCUUAAAUAUUGAAACAGAACAAGUCUUGACAUAAAAAAGGCUUGAGCAUUGUUACCAAUUUUGUUCUUUUUGUCCAUAAUUUUGUUCUUUUUGUCCAUAAUGACACGGAGAUCUUCAGCCGAGAACUUCACCAUCUUGACUUCUUAUGAAGAUCACACUACCAAUUCCACUAUUUAAUCCUGUUGUUGAAGGUUUGGGUAUUAAUAAGAAUCUAAUAAAAAACAUGAGAAAAUAACUAAACUGGAAACUUUGACACUGACACCGGUAGCCAAAAAGUAAUAACCACUAUAGUUGUCCAAUGUCAAAACCAAAGGAACUUGAAAAUUUUAGAAAGUUAAUAAAAUGUUUUAACAUGCAUUAUUUGUCAGGAUACAAGUAUUCCCUUGUUUACACCACACUCACACUUCACAGGAUUGUAAGCACAAAAUCUAAGAAAAAGGUAAACUGAAAACCAUGAAUGAUGUAUCUUAGUUGAACAAUCUAAGAUCUACUAUCAGAACAGCACAACUUAUAUUCUUUAAAAACAGACCAUCGAGGUAACAGACACGAAACAAUCGAAUAAUAGCAAUUUAGGCUCGAGGCACUUCCAUAUGCAUGCGCGGAUAUGGACACAGUAUCAUGAGAAUGCGGAUAUGAAGAUACGAUUUUUUUUCCAGAAAACAUGAUACAGGCACAUAUAGUAGGAAAUUAGAAUUGUCCUGUAUCCUAAAAGCAGUUGCAACUUAGCAGUAACAUAAAAAUUGGCCUGUAUUCCGAUUGACCUGUUGUAGGUGCUGAAUCCCGUCUCCAAUCUUACAAGUGACAAAGACAGACAAUUCAUCAACUAAUGAAUAUAAAGGACAGGAUCCCGUCCACGAUCUUACAAGUGACCAGACAAAUGAUGGACAAUUAGUCGAUUUACCGUGGGCUGCGUGCGGUGGUGGCAGCUGCUGCUCGUCGCAACUCGCACGUGCUAGGGCUCGCUGCCGGCGCAGAGGCUGGCGGGUGUAUAUAUAGGUGGUAUAUAAUGGGCCAAACAGUGACCAGCCCACAUACUUAAGUGGGCCAAGACAUAUUCUGGUCUGAAAUUCCUGACAUUUUCCUAUUUCUGGCUUGUUUUGAAUCCCAGAAGACGCGCUUUCUGCUAGGGACUGCAUGUAGCAAGUGAUCUUUGCCUGUUCAUGACUGAACUUUAAAUUAGCACCGGUCUGUAUUUAUUUCUAUAAUGUAGUACCACCAUGCACCUUGUGGUAGAGAAACUUUUAUAUGCUCAUUGAAAAAAAGAAUAUGAAUGAAACAACACGCUUACAAGUCAGAUUGCACUAACAUUGUUGGUUUACUUGGCCCUCAGCGUUUAGGUUGUGAAGCAUUCAUUGGUUCAAGCAGUGUUUACAGUUGUGAACAGAUGUUAUCAUGCUUUCACAUACAAAACCCUGGGCACACCUUUGCCGGCGCUAGAGUUUAUCUCUCGAAUCUGUCAAUCAUUCAGCAGUAUUUUUCUCUCACAAUAAAUUAGCAAAUAGUAUUUUUAUCCAUGGCUUUUCUGUCAAGCAAACGUCACUCUGCGCUUCUACUUUUACUUGUUUAAUUGGCAAAAUUUUGGAAUUUCGGAUACCAUAGCACUUUCGUUUUUAUUUGACAAAUAUUAUCAAUCAUGAACUAACUAGCCUCAAAAGAUACAUCUUACAAAUUACAGACAAACUGUGUAAUUAGUUUUUGUUUUCAUCUAAAUGUGAUAGGGAAUCUAAAAUUUUUGGCAAAACUUUUUGAAACUAAACAAGGCCUAACAUACCGACAGUCCACAGAUUACACAUACAUACAAACAAAGAUGAACAGAUAAGUCUUCAAAGUAAUAAGCAAGUGGUGUAGCAAGCAUGAAAAAGCCAACAACGUUGCUAAUGAGCUACAGACUACACAUACAAACAAAGAUGAACAGAGUAAAUAAGCAAGUGGAGUAGCAAGCAUGAAAAAGCCAACAACGUUGCUAAUGAGCUAGCUCGGCAAUGUCUCUAGAGUCUUGUAUUUGGGUUGAACCCUCUAGUUAUAUUUUUCAUCUUUAAGCAAACGAUAUAUCAAUUUUCUAAAAUGAAUAAAGCUUAGGAUGUGUUUAAUAAAAAAAAAGAGGGGGGUGGGGGAGUUGCAAGCAACCAAACAUGCUGAUCUAAGUAUUGGAUGACAUCAUGCAUAAUGCAUCAAAGUACAUACCUAUUGCUAAUUUUGUGGAUUUAGAUCUACCUCAAUUCUAACCUACUACAAUCAACAUGGAUACAAAACAAUACAAGAAUCAAGAGCUGCAAAAAAUGACUAUAUACUUCACAAAGAAAAGGCAAGGAAACAACGAGCAAAAGGGUUAACUGUCUGACAGAUCAUGCACAGCGUUAAUAAGACAGUGGAUAUAAGAAAUACACCCGGAAAAUAAGUAUAUAACCAAUUACUAAACCAAAGAUACCACCUCUGUUUCAUCUGCUACAUCAAAACGGAUAUCAAAAUAGUGUCUCAGGCUCUCAGCACAGAUUGACAAACUACAUGAUGACCAAUAUAGUUCAGAGACAGGUGCAUUCGACAACUAAAACGAAGCAAAAUAUUCAAGUCGUUCCCAUUACAGUACACGAAUUGACGAUUAAACCAGCAGGUGUAACAGUAGAACAAACAACCAAAAAUUUAGAGCUUGUCCUCAAACUCAGAGAGAGGGGUCAUCUGUUCCUUGAGACCCUUCCUCUUGCGGAUAUCCAGCACCAGCUGAGCAGCCUGGGAGCCAGCCUCCAAAGGAUCAGAGCCCAUCAUGUCCCAAUGGUCAAAGACACACUGGGGGAACGCCUGACCAGAGGUUGCAGCCCUCAGUUGGCUGGAGAACCCAAACGACUCGAUGACAGGGAGGUAAGCCUUGAUGUUGUAGAGCGGGGUACCCGGCCUCUGCAUCUCCUCAAACACAUGCCCUCUCUUCUGGUUCAGAACACCGUAGAUACCACCAAGUGCAUUUUCUGGGGCCUGAAUCUCCACCAGGUACACUGGCUCCAGCAGCCUUGGCUUGGCCGUGAGCUGAGAAGCAUAGAUGACCCUCCUGGCAGUUGGGAUGACCUGGCCACCACCCCUGUGGAUAGCAUCAGCAUGAAGAACGACAUCACAGACCUCAAAGCAAAUUCCGCGCAUGUUCUCCUCAGCCAGUGCACCCUCCUUUGAUGCCCACUGGAAACCAGCCACGACAGAAUCCUUGAUUUCAUUGAGAUACUGCACUCCCUUACACAUAUCAACAACCAUGUUUGGGCCAGUGGUCUCAGGUCCAAAACACCAAAUCUUCUUGGCGAGAUCCUUGUCCCACCCAAACUCCUGAGAGAGGAUCUGGGAGCGCACCUUAGGAUCAUCACGUGGGCCAAUGCGGCCAUCAUCGAUGGCCUCAGCGAGACCCUCCUCCAAGGGGCGUGCUUCCAUGUACAGACGGUUGUGCUUGUUGGGAGACUUGCUCAUGACAGUACGGCAGGACUUCUCAAGAACGGUUUCCCGGAAGGACACAACAGGAGGGGAAACAAUAAUUUCAGCACCACCCAUGAAGUCCUCCUGCAGAUCCUUCAGGCAAAUCUCAAGAUGAAGCUCACCAGCUCCAGCAAUGAUAUGCUCACCAGACUCUUCGAUUGUACAGAGAACCAUAGGAUCAGACUUCGCCAGACGCUUCAAACCUUCGACUAGCUUGGGAAGGUCAGAGGCAACCUUGCACUGAACAGCAACACGCACAACAGGGGAGACAGAGAACUUCAUUGCUCUGAUCGGGCAUGCAUCAACCUCCUUCUCAUUAGUGAGUGUAGCGUUCUUCGUGAUGAACUGGUCCAGACCAACCAUAGCAACAGUGUUGCCACAAGGAACAUCCUCAACUGACUCUUGUUUCUUUCCCAUCCAGAUAACGGUACGCUGGACACUCUUCACAUACAGAUCCUUCUUCUGCCCAGGGACAUAGUUGGGACCCAUGAUCCGAACCUUCAUACCAGUAGCAACCUUCCCUGAGAAGACACGACCGAAGGCAAAGAACCUGCCCUUGUCGGAUGCUGGAAUCAUCUUCGAAACAUACAGCAUAAGAGGGCCCUCCGGAUCACAGUUUCUGAUGGCAGUUGCAUAGACAUCAUCAAGGGGCCCCUCAUACAAGUUCUCCACACGAUACUUUUGAGCCUUUGCCGGGGAAGGAAGGUGGAAUAUCAUCAUCUCGAGCAGUGCAGUGCUUGCUGGUAGCCACGUUUGCAUAACACGCUUCAUCAAAGCUUUGCCAAUCAAUUCCUUCUCAUCAGACUUCAUGGUAACAUUGAGCUUUUGCAGCAUGGGCCACAAUUUCUCCUUCUGGUCGUUCAUGCAGGUGUUGAUGAUUUGCUUGAUUGGCUCAUAGCAGAACUGAACAAAUCCUCUCUUGCAGGUAGGGGAGCCUGUGUUCUUGGUUGUCCAUUUCUUGGUGGCAGGGUCAAAGAAGUUCUCACCCCAAAGCCUCUCCAUCAUCUUAGAUUCAUCAACUCCAAACUUAGAUGCAUACAUCUUGGCAAAGUUAGUGAGGGUAAAGGCCCAUCCGUGCAGACCAGCAGAAAAAGCAACAGUCCCCUUCUCUGGGUACACUUGGACGUCACCAAGGAGCUUAUCUUCGUAUGUUGCCAUGAUGACAUUGGCAUUCUCAAUGACACGGGAGAAGGUCUGGUAAGCUUCCUCGCCCUCAACCUGAAGCUCAAGGAAGCACCUGUCCAUCUUGUUCACGGUAAGAACUGGCCUAAUCCUCUCACCAAGGGCUUGGCGAAGCACAGUUUCAGUUUGCACACAGACACCUUCAAUACAGUCAACCACCACAAGAGCACCAUCGGUGAUGCGAAGAGCAGCUGUGACUUCCGAAGAAAAAUCAACGUGCCCAGGCGAGUCAAUAAGGUUGAUCAGGUAUUGGUUACCAUCUCUCUCACCCUUGUAAUUCUUCAGUGACUCGUCAGUCAUCUCAUAGUAAAGAGAGAUACCGGUAGAUUUGAUUGUAAUACCACGCUCUGCUUCAUCUGCACGAGUAUCAGUCAUGCGAACAUCACCAGCAACUUCCUGGGCAAUAAUCCCAGCAGCUGCCACAAGGGAAUCUGUAAGCGUAGACUUGCCUGCAAAGAAUUUAUAAUAGCAUAUAAGAACAGCAAGGAAAUUCAACAUGUGCAUCAUAUGGUAGUACAAUAUUAGGGACAGACAAGCAAAUCAAAAGUUAACAAACACAGUAGUAGAUUACAAUCUAGAGUAUAUAAUUAUGAACAGAUACUAUGUAAACCACCAUAUCUAAAAUAUACAAUGUAUUUCCUACAUGUGAUAAAUAUCUGAACAUAAGCAGUUAACUAUGCCUAAAAUAGAUAGUGCAGCGAGAAAAGAAACAUUAGCUGUAACAGAGCUUAAAUGUUGAAAACAUAAAAGUUAACAACUCAGUAGUAGUAUAUUACAAUCUAAUACAUACAGCCAGCAGAUAGUAUGUAUACCACAAUAUCCAGACAAAAGCAAUACAUUAACUGUAGAUGAAAAAAGCAAUUAGGGGAUAAAUGUCUGUGAUAUAGGCCUAUAGUAGAUAAUGCAGCAUGAAUAGAAGCAUUAGCACUCAGGCACAAUAGAGAGCUUAAAUAUUGAAACAAAAUUAAUCUUGACAUCAAAAUCAAAAAGGCUUGAAAACAUUAAGGAAUGCAUGUAUAUAUAUGCUAUCUAACAGAGCAGUGUUCUGAACAUACCAUGGUCCACAUGAGCAAUAACAGACAUGUUACGAAUGUUGUUCUUUUUGUCCAUGAUACCACGGAGCUCUUCAGCUGUGAACUUCACCAUCUUGACUUCUUAUAAAGGUCACGCUACGAAUACCAAUAUUUAUUCCUGCAGUUGAAAGUUCAGGUAUUACUAAGAAUACAAUAAUAAACAUGAGAAAAUAACUAUACUGAAAACUUUGACAUUGACAUCAGCAGCAAAGAAGUAAUAACCACUACAGUUGUCAGGAACAAAGAGAGGGAAAUUAUUAACCAUUUCAGAAAGUUAAUAAAAAUGUUUUAACAUGCAGUAUUUGUCAGGAUACAGUAUUCCAUUAAUAUACACCAUACUCAUACUUCACAGGAUUGUGAGCACAAAAGGCUAAGAAAAAAGUAAACUGAAAACUCAUACUUCACAGGAUUGUGAGCACAAAAGCCUCGUUAAUCUAAGAUCUACAGCACAACUUAUUUUCCUCAAAAAAAAGAGAGAGACCAUCGAAGUAACACACGAAACAAUCAAAUAAUAGCAAUUUGGGCUCGAGCCGCUUGCAUAGCAUAUGCACGGAUAUGGACACAGUAUCAGGAGGAUACGGAUAUAGAGAUACGAUAUUUUUUCUUUCAGAAAACAUGAUACGAGCACAUAGCAGGAAAAUAAAACUGUCCUAUAUCCUAAAAGCAGUUGCAACGUAGCACCAAUAACCAAAAAAAUGCAGUUUAUUGCGGUUGACCUGUUAUAGCUGCUGGAUCCCGUCCACGAUCUUACAAGUGACCAGACCAAACAAGUGACCAGACCAAACAGACAAUUCGAGUAACUAAGAAUAAGGACAGGAUCCCGUCCACAAUCUUACAAGUGAUCACAGACAAUUCGACUAAGGGACAAGGGACAGUAACAGGGUAAGGGAGAGGGGAAAGAGAAGAAGCUGUUUUGUAGUCGAUUUACCGUGGGCGUCGCCGGAGAUAGAGCUCGCUGCCGGCGCCGGAUCGCGUCGCAGGCGCGGGGGCGGGCGGCGGCUGCGGUGCGGUAGAGAUGGGUGACUGGGGGAGGUGAGCAGAGAUAGGGUUUUCUGUGCUCUUUGUAUAGUAUAUAUAUAGGGGGUUAAUGGGCCAAACGUUUAACGGCCCACAAACUUAAAUGGUCCAAGAGACGUUGGCCCAAAUAUCCGAUUUGUUGAAAAAAAUUAUAAAAUCGGAUUUAGGUGUUCUCUUAUAAAAUUGCAAAACUAGCAUCUUGUCGCUAUUCAACGGCCGAUAGGACACCUGUUGGCUAUCGAAAACUAGUUGGUCCUCCAAUCGGCUCGUCAUUGGCCGAGGCCAGUCUCUUUACUAUUUUGGUUUUAAGAAAUUUUUUUAUAUUAGCCCUUGUUUAGUUUCCAAAAAGUGCAAAAAAAAAUUCAAGAUUCUCCGUCACAUCAAAUCUUACGGCGCAUGCAUGGAGCAUUAAAUAUAAACAAAAAUAAAAUUAAUUGCACAGUUUACCCGUAAUUUGCGAGACGAAUCUUAUGAGCCUAGUUACUCUAUGAUUGACAAUAUUUAUCAAAUACAAACGAAAAUGCUACAGUAGUGUUUUCCAAAAAAAAAUUGGCAACUAAACCAGGCCUAAGCAAAAUAUAUAAAGACCCCCAAAAAAUUAUUAACAAAUAGUUCAGCUAAUCUUUUUAGGAUCUGUUCAUCGAUGGUUUAACAAAUCAAAUGUGAAUAAAUAGUACGCAUGCCAUUAGUGGAAACCCUACGUGAAAAAUAGUCUCUCUCACAUCAUAACCAUUAGUUGACGUAUUAUUUGAUAUAUUGACAACUAGCUUCUCGUCGCCUCCAGCAUGAACAAUCAUGAGCUCUAGAAUUUUUUUAGCCCAAUAAACUAAUAUUUUUAAAAAACAUCACAACUAAAUUUUUAGAAACUACUCGAUAUGGAUUUUGUGCUAGUCAUUUUUUUAGGUUUGAUUAGGUUUUAAAAAUAUUAAAAAUAUUUUUAUCUUUAAUAAUUUUAUUAUGAAAAAUAUAUUCAAUGACUUAUCUAAUGGUACUAAUUCUGCAUGACAAAUAAUAUUAUUUUCUUACAUAUAUUUUAUCAAAGUAAAAAAAUGACUUAUCGAAAGAUAGAGGAAGUAGCUCUUUUAGCCACGUCAAAAUUAAACUGCCAUCCGUCAAUCUUUUUUCAAUCAUCCAUUUUAUCGGCCGAGCAUCUCCCAUUUUUCUUAUAUAAAAUACAAAAAAAAAAUCCGGACUCACUUCCUCUACCUUUGUCGAUCGUGCAUCACACUAUAAAAAGAGCGAGUUUUUUUAGGGAGCUCUCCCUCUCUAAUAACCGUUCGAUCUAAACGUCGUGCUAUAUGUGCCUUCUGUCACCCGUGAUCUUACAUAAUAUAAGAUAUAAGAUUCCUCCUAAACCAAGAUUCCUCCUAGAUUCCAAAAACGGAAUAUAAUAGUCCAUAUUUGCAUAUUGGAGUCCAAUUCCAAUCCGCAUGCAUAGCUUUUCUGAUUUUUUAAGUCCAAUUCAUUAGCCGUUUCGACUUUUUUAAUUUCAAGAAAGAAUUAAGAGCAUAUUUUCUUUUUACCGUGCAUGCUUAAGAUCGGGCAUGCAUGAUCACUUGUUCAAGAAUAUACAUACAAGAUCUACCGGCAAUAGGAAGUCAAAUCAAAUUGAGAUAUAUUCACGCCAAUUUUAAAAAAUCAACCUAUUCAUGACAAUGUGGUAUGAGAUGACCCGUAUGAAUUCUCCUGCGUGAAUAGCGUUGAUCAUGAUUGGUCUUUGAGUCAAUCGGCAACGAAACAAACUUAAUUGGAGAGGCUAGAGCUGGGUUAAGGAGAAAUCUUGGUUUAAUAGGAGUCUUGUAUCUUUCAUGUAAGAUUGAUUUUCCUUUUUUAGGUAUACGAGGAAUCUUGGUUUAGAAAAAGUUUUACAUUUUACAUAUAAGAUCACAGAUGACAAAUGACUCAUAUAGCACGACAUAUAGAUCGAACAGAGAGCCUCCUUGAAAAAACUCACCGCCGCUGGCCGCGGAUUGUUCGAAAAAAGAAAAAAUAAUAUACAUCAAGAUGCAUACAUGCAACUAAUAAAUAAAUUAAUUGGAAAAAGAAAAAUAUGGAUGCGUGGAUGCAACUAUAAUAAAUAACAUCAAUAUGAAUGCAUGCUGGCGUAUGUAUUAGCAAUUAAAAAGAAAAAUAAAUUUGAACACACGUGAUUUUAUUUAUUAUGAUAAACAAGAAAGAAAAAACUAGCAAACGUUUUACAUUGUUUAUAGUACCAUAUUAUGAAUGAAUAAGUGAAAAUAAAAUCAAGGAACAUCUGAUAAUACAAACACGUGCGUGACGCACGUGCAUAUUUGCUAGUGUUUGAAAUCUCCCACUAUAGGUUUCUGCUCGGACUGGGUUCAGCUGAUUAUGAAGUGCGUUAUCUCUGUGUCGUAUCGGCUGAAAGUAAACGGCAACCGGUCUAACAGUUUUGUGCAAGAGCCUGGUCUACGGCAGGAGGAUCCACUCUCCUCCUAUCUAUUCCUACUCGGUGCAAAAGGCUUCAGUGGUUUUGUUGAAGGAUGCUGAACCAAGGGGUAUGAGAGUGUGUCCGAGAGAAUGCCAUGCAUUUGAAGUCUAUUCUACAGCUGUAUGAGAGUGUGUCCAGGAGAAGUCUGCUGUUCUCCAGUCAAAAAAUUGAUGAACCCUGAUUCGCUAUGUGCCCAAGUGCUGCGAGCAAGAUACUUCUCUGAUGGUGAUGUGCUACGAGCCAAACCGAAGAGGAUCAUGUCCUAUACUUGGCGCAGUAUCUUGGCCGGGAUCGAGGUGCUUAAGAAGGGACUGAUCUGGACAAUUGGUGAUGGAAUAACUACCGCUACAUGGACUGAUGAUUGGAUUCCAAGGGAUCAUUUGAGAAAACCAUACACGCCGAGGGCUGCUGACACGAGUGCAUGAACUUCUUGAUCCAACAAUGGACUGAUGAUGUGCUACUUUUUGGCAGGAAGACGAGCGAGGUCAUAUUGAGCAUCCCUGUUCAUGACAGGGAAUGGAUGACAUGAUUGCUUGGCACUACAACAAGACUGGCAUCUCCUCUGUAAAGUCGGCCUACAAAAUCCAAGUUGCCAACAGGGAAAAAAGCAAUGCAGAGCUAGGAGUGGUGGGUCAGUAAUGCUAAUGGCGAUCAGCUGUGGAAGAAGCUAUGACAAGUAGACUGUCCAAAGAAAAUGUUGCACUUUAUGUGGAGACUGUGUCAUAAUAGUUUGGCCUUGCGUGUCAACCUAAAACGCCAGGGUAUCAAAUUGAAUCCCUGCUGUGUUCUCUGUGGGCGGUGUCUGGAUGAGGAUGGAGCUCAUUUAUUUUUCAAGUGCAAAGAUGCAAAGAGAGUAUGGGAAGAUAUGCAGCUCCAUGGUGUGAGGGAUCGGCUUGCACAAGCCAUCACGGCAGUUCUGAAACUGAAGGAAGAAGUGCAGCGAAGGGUGAUUACUUUCAUGUACAUUUGGUGGUCGGAACAAUGCAGAGUUCACGAAGGGGAUGCACAAAGGAGUCCAGAACAGAUCGUCCAGAUAUACUGUAAUAGUCAGUUGCUACUCCGAAGAAUGGGCUUCUCUGAAGAAUAUUUAGGCAGCACCUAUCUCCACUAUAAUUGAAAAACUUUUUGGAACCAGACAAACUUACUCCCCCAACAAACUCAUCCCACCGCAGUCCACUAAUCCGGCCCACUAAUGUUCACCGUAACCAAUCCUCACGCCGCGGUCUCUCCAGGUCAAUCACGGUUCAUCUCAAAAUUGAAUCCACUCCGCCUGCCGUCCAUUUGAAACCACCACCUGCCGUUCAUUUGAAUCCACUCAUCUGCCGCCACAAUCUACGCCUCCCUUCCUCUUCCAGCGUACCAGCGAUCUACGUACAAGCAGAGCACAUACAAGCAGGACACCGCCAAGAGCACGUACUUGACGUCGGCGCCGCCACAUCUACUCUUGUCCUCCACAACGACACGGCGGACGGCAGGGAGACGGACUUUGGAUCGGCAACAGUCAGGUGAUUUUGUGAUUCAUAUACAAGAGCGUACAAACGGUAAAAAAAUAUAAUGCUUUUGCAGAUUAUUUUUGGCUUUUGAUCUUUAGUGUAGACUGUAGGUUACGUUUUACUACCUGCAGGCAAUUUUUUUAUCUUCCUCUAAAUAAUACAAGUAGUAACUAAUAGUACAAGUAUGCGCCGAUCAUUAUAGUGCUUAGGUGUUGCCCCUGCUGCAUGUCAUAAAUUAAACCAUCUAAUCGUCUUGCUUAGGUCCCUGACGGCAACAUGAAACCAUUAGUGAUCUCAGCAUGCAUGGUCCUGUAGUAUAUGCAUAUACAUCUGAAUGGUUGCAUGUACAUCUAAAUCUAUAUACAUAUACAUCUGAAUUAUUCCAUGGUUUCAGAUAUUUUACAAUAGUUGGAUCAUGAAUCAUUUAACAUGGAUUCUGAAUGGUUCCAUGGUUUCAGAUAUUUUAUAUCUGAAAUAUUAUUAAUAUUUUACAAGAGGAAAAAGAGUUGGAUCAAGAAUUAUUUAAUAUGGGUAUUCGGAUGCUCGCGCGCUGACAAAACAAAAAUACCACCUCAUGGAUCUUAAAUUUGUUGUAAGUUGUUAUAUAUAAAUCAUUAUAAAAUAGUAUAAUUCAUUAAAAAUUGCUAAUUUCUACAAAUUCAACAGGAAAUAAUUAGGUUUGAAUGAGAUCCACGAUGUUGUGGACCGGUUAACAAAGUAUAUUAAGAAAAACUGAAAAAAGUACUUGAGUGUUGGCCUGACAUACAAUAUCACAUAAAUGACUGUAGCAAUGUAAGUUAAGUUUUAUUUACUAUAUACUUUGUUUAAUUAAUUUUUUGCACUUACCAAUCAAAUAUUCUAUUUAUGUGUCUUAGAUUCUACUACCGUAUUAUCGAGACGGACUGUAUAUUUUAUUCAUAAUAGACAUGUAAAACAAAAUUGUGCGUAUUAUGGAUCCACUACAAAGACAAACUGCUUUGGCUGGUUUUAGUCAAGAUAUGGUAUAUACAACUACAUUCCAAGCUAUUGCUACAAUGUUCACGUUCGCCAUGAAACUAUCAAAAUCAAAGAGGAACCACUGUAUAUCUUCAUGGCGGCGAGAAUACCCUGCAUGCGUGACAAAGGUUACAUCAAACCACAAAGACUGGUAUUACUUUUGGUUCAACUUUGUUUUAGUUGUAACAAAUAUUUCAGUUUUGUAUGCCAAAUAAACAAUUGAUCUUGUACAGGAACUGGGAGGAUUUCUUGUAUACAAUUUCACGAAGUUGUGGGAUGAUGUAAAAUUGUCACCGAUCAAUAAUGUAAGCAUAUGCAGUCUCCAACUAUAUUUGCAUCAAUACACGAUUAAAUAUUAACAUAAUAAUAUCUGUCAUUCACAGCUGUCAAGAUCACUAAGGACGGAGUUCUUGGCUGACAUUUUGGCGAGUCAUGCAAACAAGUGCUACGACAACAUCCCUGAAGAUAUCCAAUAUUUGAUUAAAAAGUUAGGAAAAUGUAAAGAUAUCUUUAUGUACUGAUGGUUCAUAAAAUGUAUAUAGACUCAAAAACAAUUGUUCAAAAUUAAAAUUCUAAAAAAAUUACUAUGAUUUAUAUAGCAUUUCCUAGCCUUUUCUCCGUUCUGACAAACAUGUAGGGUUAGUCGCGUGCCACCGCUUCUCCACGAGUCGGAACGGAGACACUAGGUCUUGUUUACUUCUAUUUUUUUUUAAAUAGGAAUAGUAACAUUUUCGUUUGUAUUUGACAAAUAUUGUCCAAUUAUGUACUAACUAGGCUCAAAAGAUUCGUCUCAUCAAUUUCGACCAAACUGUAUAAUUAGUUUUUAUUUUUUAUCUAUAUUUAAUACUUCAUGCAUACGUACUAAACAAGGCCCUGAUCCCCUUCUCUCCUUGCACCUAUAACAUGCUAGGGGCAUGUUAGUCUUUUUUUACGAGUGGCCCCAUUCGACGGUUCACGGUCUGUUUAGAUUCAAAUCUUUACAUCUUAAAUAGGUGUUUAAAUCCUUCUUAAAUUUUUUUUAUCUGCAACACAAGACACGAGUCCCUAAGCAAGUUUACACAGUUUUAGGGCUCUAAGAGCAUCUCCAAGAGAUUAGCCAAAUCAUUUUCUAAAGGUAAAUUUGGCUAUUGUUGAAGGAAAAACUUCUCCAACAGAUUUUGUAAAUGACGGUUCAAAUUUAGCAGCUCUCCAUUCCACCUUAUUCGCUCUCUACUUUUAGAUAGCCUACCUCACUAGUCAUUCUUUUAUACAGUCUGUUGGAGUACUCUAAUAUCUUUUUAUCAAAUCUAUUUUAGAGAGCAAUUAAAUCAGUAAAUUUGCCUAGUCUUUUUGGCUAAUCUCUUGGAGAUGCUCUAAGGUCCCAAAUUCCAAAUCUUUACAACCCAAGUUUUACAAGCCCAUGUUUAGAUCUAUUCUUCCAAAAAAUACUCAUUUCUCUAAAAGUUUUGGCUGUAUCUAAACAGGGCCUCGAUGUUAUGGUAGUGUCAUUUUGGGAACAGAAAUUUUAAGGAAGGGUAAAAGAAAGAUUUGAAGUUUCGAUGUCAAAUGGGGAACAACAUUUUUUUAAUGUCAAAUAAGGAUUUUUCUCAUUUAUAGAACUGAGUUACGAUUUUAUAAACAAAUUCAUGCAUGCAUUAAACCCGUCACCUGAGAUAAACCAAAGGAGCACAUACAAAACUAGACAAAACGACCCAAUAAAAAUAGGAAUGAUUCCUAACUCAUGUUCUUAACAAGUAAUUACCCUAUAUCCAAAACUAGACAAGGAAAAAUACGACUGUCCAAGAAAUUGCUUAACUGAUAUCCUAGCUGAUAGCUACAACAUCCAACCCAAAAAUGAGGGUAAUUUUUUGUUGCUCAUUGUCAAGCCAACGUCCAGGCCUAAACUUCACACUCCAACAGAGCCUAGUGUAAUAGCCCAAAAAUUUCUAACCUACCAUGAAUCACACAUGUGCAACACAUUUAGCAUACAUUUGAAUGUUUUUAAUUUAAUUUGAAAAUAAUCCUAAAUUUGAGCAUGCUUCAUUAAGGAACUUUGAGUUUCACUUAAACAUGCAUGCUAAGAAAUUACAUGACAAACUACUAUUUUUCAAACUAUAAAAAUAGAUAUUUUUUCUUGAUUUUUGCGAAAACAUUUUAGGGCUAAAUAGCUUAACCAAAAUCUUAAACAUAAGUAUAUAACAUUAAGCAAAAUUACAAAGGUUAUUAUGAUGCAAGAUAAAAGUAAAAUGGGCCAUGCAUGUUUUUUGGCAUCUACCUAAAAAGUUAUAAGAUUUUACGAGAUUUCUCUGUACAACCGAAUCAUAAAUAUACGCGGCUCAUCAUGGACACAUCCCAAAAAAUUUGGCCAUUUAAACCUAUCUUAAUUCUAUGCACCCUACAGCCGAAUCAUAAAUAUACGGGACUCAUCAUGGACACGUCAAUAGAAAUAUCAAAAGAGCUGCAAAAAUGACUAUACACUUCACAUGGAAAAGGCAAGGAAACAACCAACAAAAGGGUGAAUUUAACUGACAGAUCAGGCAAAGCGUUAUUAAGACAAUAGAAAUGAGCAACACAGGGAAUACAAGUAUGUAACCACUAACUAAACCACACAGAUACCAACUCCGUUUCAUCUGCUACAUCACACCAGAUAUCAAAAUGGAGUCUCAGGCUCUCAACACAGCAGCAUACACUACAUGACCAAUAUAGUUCAGAGACAGGUACAUUAACUAAAACGAGAGAAAAUAUUCAAGUCGUUCCCAAUACAAUAGACAAAUUGACGAUUAAACCAGCAAUAGUAACAGUAGAACAAACAACCAAAAAUUUAGAGCUUGUCCUCAAACUCAGAGAGAGGGGUCAUCUGUUCCUUGAGACCCUUCCUCUUGCGGAUAUCCAGCACCAGCUGAGCAGCCUGGGAGCCAGCCUCCAAAGGAUCAGAGCCCAUCAUGUCCCAAUGGUCAAAGACACACUGGGGGAACGCCUGACCAGAGGUUGCAGCCCUCAGUUGGCUGGAGAACCCAAACGACUCGAUGACAGGGAGGUAAGCCUUGAUGUUGUAGAGCGGGGUACCCGGCCUCUGCAUCUCCUCAAACACAUGCCCUCUCUUCUGGUUCAGAACACCGUAGAUACCACCAAGUGCAUUUUCUGGGGCCUGAAUCUCCACCAGGUACACUGGCUCCAGCAGCCUUGGCUUGGCCGUGAGCUGAGAAGCAUAGAUGACCCUCCUGGCAGUUGGGAUGACCUGGCCACCACCCCUGUGGAUAGCAUCAGCAUGAAGAACGACAUCACAGACCUCAAAGCAAAUUCCGCGCAUGUUCUCCUCAGCCAGUGCACCCUCCUUUGAUGCCCACUGGAAACCAGCCACGACAGAAUCCUUGAUUUCAUUGAGAUACUGCACUCCCUUACACAUAUCAACAACCAUGUUUGGGCCAGUGGUCUCAGGUCCAAAACACCAAAUCUUCUUGGCGAGAUCCUUGUCCCACCCAAACUCCUGAGAGAGGAUCUGGGAGCGCACCUUAGGAUCAUCACGUGGGCCAAUGCGGCCAUCAUCGAUGGCCUCAGCGAGACCCUCCUCCAAGGGGCGUGCUUCCAUGUACAGACGGUUGUGCUUGUUGGGAGACUUGCUCAUGACAGUACGGCAGGACUUCUCAAGAACGGUUUCCCGGAAGGACACAACAGGAGGGGAAACAAUAAUUUCAGCACCACCCAUGAAGUCCUCCUGCAGAUCCUUCAGGCAAAUCUCAAGAUGAAGCUCACCAGCUCCAGCAAUGAUAUGCUCACCAGACUCUUCGAUUGUACAGAGAACCAUAGGAUCAGACUUCGCCAGACGCUUCAAACCUUCGACUAGCUUGGGAAGGUCAGAGGCAACCUUGCACUGAACAGCAACACGCACAACAGGGGAGACAGAGAACUUCAUUGCUCUGAUCGGGCAUGCAUCAACCUCCUUCUCAUUAGUGAGUGUAGCGUUCUUCGUGAUGAACUGGUCCAGACCAACCAUAGCAACAGUGUUGCCACAAGGAACAUCCUCAACUGACUCUUGUUUCUUUCCCAUCCAGAUAACGGUACGCUGGACACUCUUCACAUACAGAUCCUUCUUCUGCCCAGGGACAUAGUUGGGACCCAUGAUCCGAACCUUCAUACCAGUAGCAACCUUCCCUGAGAAGACACGACCGAAGGCAAAGAACCUGCCCUUGUCGGAUGCUGGAAUCAUCUUCGAAACAUACAGCAUAAGAGGGCCCUCCGGAUCACAGUUUCUGAUGGCAGUUGCAUAGACAUCAUCAAGGGGCCCCUCAUACAAGUUCUCCACACGAUACUUUUGAGCCUUUGCCGGGGAAGGAAGGUGGAAUAUCAUCAUCUCGAGCAGUGCAGUGCUUGCUGGUAGCCACGUUUGCAUAACACGCUUCAUCAAAGCUUUGCCAAUCAAUUCCUUCUCAUCAGACUUCAUGGUAACAUUGAGCUUUUGCAGCAUGGGCCACAAUUUCUCCUUCUGGUCGUUCAUGCAGGUGUUGAUGAUUUGCUUGAUUGGCUCAUAGCAGAACUGAACAAAUCCUCUCUUGCAGGUAGGGGAGCCUGUGUUCUUGGUUGUCCAUUUCUUGGUGGCAGGGUCAAAGAAGU
RNAcentral lists this long non-coding RNA (49740 nucleotides) under Sorghum bicolor (sorghum). Its description in RNAcentral is "long non-coding RNA (SBIC_LNC000032)". The stretch from base 19373 to 19480 matches the Rfam family "MIR5565 microRNA precursor family". The record is from RNAcentral. Lineage: Eukaryota; Viridiplantae; Streptophyta; Magnoliopsida; Poales; Poaceae.